UGGUGAAGGCCCUAGGGCUGGCUACUUAAGGAUGAUGGCAUAUUAGAAUGAAACUAAAUAAAUCAAUGAAAGACACUCAAAAGUGAAGGGCUCUAAAUCAACCUCUUGCUUCAUUAGGGUAUUUUUAUCAUUUGCCCAAAAUACUCAUGUGUAAAGACUAAAGAAGAGACAAAGACAAAUACCACAUUUGUUCAAUAAUUUGUUGACAAUACAAUUGCAAAAAUUAAGGUAAACAUUUUAAGACGUGGAUAGCGCGCGUGAUUGAAAAAAAAUUCUUUUUACCAACGGUUAAUAUAAUAAAAUUCAGGCGUGUGUAGAGAGUAGUUAAUAGAAACCCAACAAAUGGAGUAAUUUACUUCUCACAAUCAUUAACAGAAACACCAUGAAAACAAAACAACUAACUAUAGUUUAUAUUGUUGGAAUGUUCAAACGCCUAUGUCCCAGCCUUCCCUACCUCCCAGUUUCCUCGAAACCAAACUCAUCAGCAUCAACUCACUCCUUCGCUUUCACCACCAUGUGGUGGCCGCCGAGGUCCGGCGGCCUUGGAAUCGCCGCCAUCGCCUAUGUGGUAGUUGACUACAUCCGCCACUUGUCGCCUGCGUGGCACGGCCGUCUUCAGCCAGCUCUCUUGUCCGGAUUCGCUCUCAUUGCCGUCAGUCGCGUGCCCUUCUACAAGCACUGGUCCUCUGAGUUUCGCUCCGUCUUUCCCUUUAUUGGUUCUAUGCUCUUUAUGCUCUUAGCUCUUCUCUUUGAAGCUCUCUGCGUUCGAUUUGUCACCGCUGCCCUCGGCCUUGAUUGGAACAGGUAUUUCUGCUUUUUCUCUUGAUUCUCUUUUUGGGUCUGUUUUGAUCUGCAUUGUUUCUUCAUUGAGCUUAGAAUAAAGCUACCCAGAUGAUGAAUCUGUUAGAAUUUGGGGUUUUGUGUUUUCUUCUGGGUUUUAUUUGCUUAAAUAUUAUGUGGGUCGAGUUUGAUUUGUGUUGUUUCUCUUGCCAUUUCGAUUGAUGCUCGUAAACUCUGAAUUAUCCAAUCAAUUAGGUCAAUUUCAUGUUAGGAUUAGUGCCAGCAUUUUAAGGAUCUGAUCAUACACUUUUCGAAUGUUGUUGGAUCAGAGAUGCCAAAUUUAGAAUUAAUACUCAGAUGAUGAUUAAACAUAUCAAAUGAAAUGUUCAUUAAUGAUAUUAUUUAUUAAUAAUUGUUCUAAAGGAGCUGCCUUUUUCCUUUUGUUUCUUUGGCUUACAAGGAAGGAGAUUUGAACUUAGUUUCUACACAUUAAUACCCAUCCUAUUGCAAUGUCCUUCCCGUGCCACUUGUUGUGUUAGAACGCAUGGACAAAGCAACUGGGUCUUACGAGUUACAAUAGCAAUUGCGGUUAAAUGUUGGUCUGGGAAAAUUUGUUCCCUUCUUCAGUUGGUGAACCCAUUGCUUCAAAGUUACUUUGUUGACUACAAUUUACAUAUAGUUAGGGUUUUCAGCCCUUGGCAUGUAGCACAUUGCAUCUGUUAGGGAUAAAAAAUGAGUUCUAAUAUUCUGCCUUAUAUUUCCAAAAACAAACAUGUGGCCCAUCCUACAUCUAAAGCACACUCUAUGCUCCAAGAGAAACAUUAAAAAUAAAAACAUUUCCUAUGCUUCUAUAGAUUCCUCGUUCCACCCUUGCAUGUUAGUCUAUACAGUAUUUUCAUAUAUUUAAGGCAAGAAUUUUUCAUUUUGAGUCUUCUAAACCUUUUUCCAGGAAUGUUUUUGGCUAUUAUCAUGAAAAUGCAAUGUCAUAAAUCUUUUAAUGAAUAAGUAUUAGAUCAUGUAAUAAAGAUUGGUCAUGUUGGAUAAGCUAUUGCAUAAAUUAUUUCAUGUGGUUGCAUCCCUGUGUAGACCAUGGUUGUGGCUGGCCUUUACAGGCUAUAAAAAUGUCCACAACAGCUCUUUAUGACGUGACCUGUGAGAGACCCUAUUGAAUGUUAGGAGAUACCAAUUGAUGUGGGGUCUUUCAAGAACCCUUUGGGCUUUGGCAAUCAAGUCAAUCAGGGAUCUGGAUCAUCAUUGGUUCGCUUGCUCGACUCCAAUAAACAGUAGCCAGAAAGUACAUGAUUCGAGGAUCCAAGGUGUACUAAAGCAUUGAUAAAAUUUAAGUACAAAAUAAAAUUUUGAUAAAAACACACAAAUAAUAAUGAUACAAUUCUGUUAGAACUUAAAAUAUAAUAUACAUCAAGUAUUUCUUUAAACUUUUCCCAGAUAUGUUAGAAAAAUGACCAAGAGACUAAAUCGCUAGAGAUACAAAUUACAUAAUAAUAAGUUGUCUUCCAGAUAAAGAAACUUGGAUUUACCUAUACUAGAAAAACUAUCAAAUUGCUUAACCUAUUGAAACAUGUUUCGUCCCUCAUAGUAUUCGUAAGUUGAGGAAGAAGUGAAAUUUCCAGGCCCGAGCUGCUCCAUGGCCAUUCAGUCAGGCUAAAGCUUGCUAGGCCAGUUGAUUGUAGACCAAAUGCUGACUCUGACAAAGUCAGGAAUAUUCAGAGAAAGAAAAAGCCAAAUGUUGAAGGAGGCUAGGGUUACUAAGGCCAUACCUUCCUAUAAUGAGAAAUUAAUAGAUGGGAUGGGCGUACCGCAGCAACAUAUAUAGUAUACAAUCUCUUUUUGAAAUUUUUAUAACUUAUGCAUAGCUCGGCACCUCCUUCCUUUCGUCCUUUAAAUUUUCCACAGAAGAUUUGUUCCGAUUGAAUGUCCCUGGUAAAAGUAUUUGUGGCUUCAUCCCUCUGUUUCUUUUUCGGCAUUGUUGUUUGGGUUCUUGCUGCACAGUUUCUAUUUGGUUCUUGUUACUGUAAAAUUGCUAUUUGCAGGCGUGUUGCUCGUCUUUACAUCCUUCUGUAAGUUAUCAAGUUUGUUGCUUUCACAACACCAUUGGAACACCUUCAUCAGCUGCCCCUGUAAGCUUCCAUCCUGUACCUGUUCAAUUUGUACACUCAAGCAUCAAUUUCCAUUUCUUUUACUCCAGUCCUUUAGUCCUUCCCUUAAAUCAUUUUCCAAAGCUUCUUUAAGGACUCAGACAAAUGAAACUCAUGGUUUCUUCCAUAAAUAUCAAGUUCUUAAAUAAGCAAUUUUGCUUCUCUCACACAUUCGCUAGUCAUCUGGAAGGUCUAAAUAUGGUUCUGUCCGUAAAGUGGCUUAAUGAUGAAAUUAUGGAGGUGCUUUCUUAUGGUUAUGCAUGUUCGCUCCAUGCCUGUUAGCGCUUAUUUGGCUGUAAAACUGUGUGCUUCAAUAUAAAUGCAAAUUCCAGUGUGAAAGUUAGACGACCACUGGACCACAAAAGCUUUAACUGUUAGGGAAUGGGUCACAGUGUAAUGUAAUAUAAACCAAACAAAAAGGAUUUGAAAAACACAGAAAAAGAUCAUGCUGAGAUUUUUUUAGUCAAUUUUGCAAAGAUAAGCAACAUUUUUCAUUUGCUCUCUUUUAAAUAAAGGCCCUGUGCAUUGUGUGAUAAUUUGAGAUUGAUAUGUGGGGUUUAUCAGAUGAUUUAUGAGUUCUGCUUUCUUAUAUUUCAUAGCAUCUUUUCGUAGACGAUACUGUUUCAUUGCUCAUGAAAUUAGCCAUAAUUUUAAACUAAGUAUUUAACAAGAGGGAAGACUAAUUGGCUUUUUUAAUGUUUGGCACUUCAGUCAUACAUCUCCUCUUCCCGACACUGGCCAGUGGUUUCUUUUGGCGCUGAAUGAGAAGCUUCCUCAUCCAUUAGUUGAAAUAUUGAGAGCCCGUAUUAUUGGACUGCACCAUUUCCUCAUGUUGUUUGUGAUGUUGGCUUUUUCCGUACUGUUUGACUCUGUGAAAGCUCCUGGCCUUGGACUAGGUGCACGCUAUAUGUUCACCAUGGCUAUUGGCCGCCUUCUUCGUGCCAUAACUUUUGUAUCAACAGUUCUGCCAUCAGCCCGGCCUUGGUGUGCUACUGCUCGUUUCAAUGUCCCUUUAUAUCCUCAUCGCUGGGCUCAGAAAUAUUAUGCUCCUUACGCUUCGGAUGCUAAUGCUAUUCGUGAGUUGCUACGACAGGAUAUAGCUUUCGGUAAGUACUCAUUAGGUUCCUUUUCUUCUUGAUCCCCCCUAGAUUUCAUUUUCUUGAUUGCAACUGUACGACCAAAAGACCAUUUACUAUCUGACCCUCUGACCCAAGUUUGGUAUGAGCUGGGCAUGAGUUAUAAAUUCCGAAGUCUUUUCCCAAUUCUCACACAUGGAUAGGGUCCUUCAUGGCCCCAUGUGAGAGUUAGGGAAAAAAAGAGUUGUGUUGUACAGCAUUUUCCUAUACAGUAUUCCUCUAAUGCCGCACCCUUUUCUACUGCAAAUACAUUCUCCUUUUAGGAUCAGGUGGCAGUAUAUGUUACAACAUGUUUCAUUUGUUUCCUGCAGCUGAUACUGGAAAAUUACUUGGGGACUUCCGGCCAGAUUGGGGUCCAAUGAGCUUCCUAAUAGAUUUCUUGCGACCCAGUGAAUCGGAUGGACCAUGGUAUAAUUUACUGAAGAAUGCUGGAGGCGGCUGCAAUGACCUCGUGUACAGUGGGCAUAUGCUAGUUGCUGUGUUGACAGCUAUGGCUUGGACGGUACUACCUAUUAUGUGUUUUGAAAUUUGUGGCCAUUGCCACUUGAUGUCUAAGAUGCAACCUACUUGUGCUGUUGAUUGUUGAUUUCUAUAAAUCUGAUCAAUUGUUGCAGGAAGCUUAUGGUGGUUUUAGCUCAGUUCUCAUAUGGUCACUUGUCGGGCAUGCUGCACAGAGAGAAAUACGGGAACGUCACCAUUAUAGUGUAGAUUGUGUUGUGGCCAUUUAUGUAGGAAUCCUGCUAUGGAAGAUGACAGGUUUUUUGUGGCCAUCCAAGGAUGCAUCCAGAGAUAGGAGGAUCACAAUGCUUGAGAAGAUUCAAAGUCGACUUACCCAAGCUGCUAAGGACUACGACAUAGAUGAAGUGAGAGAGCUUCUCAGAGGGGUUGAGUUGGGAAGUCAAGAGAGCCUGAGUAAUAAAGGGCCAAGCACGGGUAUGUGGAUAUUUGCUUGUGCUAUCAUAAUCACUGCAAUUGUCAUUGUUGUUCUCGCCUUGACAUUGACAAGCGAUGGAUAAUUUUCUGCUCAUGAUUUCCUUCCACGAUUUUAGGGGGUUAGAGCUUGUAGUUCCUUGUAUUGUAAAAUUUUGUGAAGAAUUGUUCGUGUUGUAGCAGAUUGAGGUUUUCUCAUGAUAUGUUGAGAGAAUCUUUUUUCAAAGGCAUAAAGCUAGUGAGUGGAUCUAAAAGUAAUUAAUUCGGACUCUCUGCUUAGAACUACUUAGGCUUUUAUUUCAUUCUCUUGUUAAUAUGAAUAGCUAUGAAAUGGAGGGGUGGGCACGGUCUAGUUUGAUUUCGUUCACUCCUCAAACUGAAACCGAAAAUUACACAUAGUUCUGCUCCAUUCUUCGGUUUACCGGUUUAAGUCACCUAACGUAAUGUUUGUUUCGUAGAUUUGACACUUGAGGGAAUGUGUAUUAGAUUCUUCUCCCGUUGGUGCUGCAAACAUGGGAAAGGAAGAAAUGAGCUUUUCAUUCUCGUGUUUCUAAAAUGCCCAAAAUGGGAGUUUUGCCCCUUUUUUCUUUUCUUUUUUUUCUUUUUUUUUUUGGGGGGUGAAAGGUAAUGACAAUUAUACUUUUAUAUUUGUGCUUUUUUUAAAAAAAAAAAAAAAAAUUCCUUUCGGUCUUCUAAUAAAUUUAUUUUCAUUUCCAGCAUUAAAUUCCAUGAAUUUUUAGAAUGGGAUCUCGUAUUCAUUAUAAGCAUAAUAACAUAAUUUAAAUGAGGAAUAAUGUAAUAUUAAAUUAUUUAGAGUAACAAUUACUAUACAAAUUUUAGUUUGCCAUGUGUAGCAAAAUGUUUUUUUAUAUUUAAAGUUAAAUUAAAACUAAAACUAAAAUUAACGAAACGGUGAAGGAGAGUGGAGCGUCACGCCUGUAAUAGCGCGUGAGAUCCAAUAACUUGGGAAUUGGGCAACAGCUAAAUGACCGAAUCUUCAAUUAGGUCACUACGAAAGAAAUGAACGAAUCGGCGAAGUCUAUUAAACAAGUCAACCAGCUCUUAAAUUCCCGAAAACAACCCAAAGUCAACGAGCUUUAAUUAUUCCAACAAUCGAACGGUUCGUAAUCAAGAACCUUCAUAGCUUCAUCGACCUGCAAACACAGGAUAUCAUUUACUCCUCUUGGCGAGCCGGGAGCGCUAGUGUUCUUCGCUGGAAGUAUUUUCCUUCAUUGUCUUUUCCGAUUAUCCAAACCGCAGCUGACGAGGGAAAAUUCGUGGGGAAAAAUCUCUGUGACCGGGGCAUCCAAAUGGCGGUUUCUGUUACGGCAUCCACAAUUUCUUCUUUCCGCUCUGAUCGUACGACUCGAAUAGCUGCGACUUCUUCAUCCUCUGCUUCUUGUUCAAAGCUAUCUUCAUCGUCUUCUCUGCAAGUUCCUGUACAGCUUCGAUGUGUUCGCAUCGGAAGAAGUGGAGUCUCGGCUCCCUCCCGGCCUCGGAUUCUUCCUGUGGUAAACUUUUUUCAAAUUUCCUAGUCUCAUGCUUUGUUUGUUUCCCGAGAAACUCGAGGAAUUAUACCUGAAAAUUGUGAAGCUUGCAAGUUCAGCUCUUUUAACCUGAGUUGUGGUUCUUCUUUUUCUGAAAGAAUUUUAUUUCUCUGUUUUAUGGUAAAACUUUAUUGUUUAUGGUUAGAAUUGUGUUUGACUUCACUAAUUAAUUUGAUUGUAAACACACAAAUAAAAUUACAGGGCAUAUAACUGGAAGCUGGAAACAUAUUGUUAAAAUGUUUAUAACCACAACACCAAUAACUGCUAUUACUUUGCCCCUGCUUUUUCUUGAAGUUCUGAGAAAACCAAAGACAGCAUGGGGUUUUUGGGAUUUCCAAAUAGGAGUCCUUUUUGGGAGAAGAAAGCUGAUUAUGUGGUGAGAGCUAAUAUUCAUAAAAAGGUUUAGUCAUAGCUAACUCACAGGUAGAUAGUUGGAUUAUUGAAAUUGUGAUCAUUUGAUGUCUAUAUUCUUUUUUAACGACGCGACGUAAGCAGUAGGCAGAAGGAAUGAAUUCUGACUAUUAGAAAGGUAUCCUUUUCUGUGGCUUCAUUUAAAAUUACUAUUUGCUUUCAAAUUGCAGAAUUUUGAAUAUCUCAACAUACAACUAAUUGUUUGUUUCCUUCUUUUUUUCAAAGCAUAUACCAUUCAUUGCAAAAAGUGCAAAUGUUGAUUAAAGAUGUUCACCAUACAUUGAACAAAAAACUGUUGCAUAGCAGUCUCCAUUUGAUCACUUUGUAACAAGUUUCUUCGUUUUUCCCAUGAUAGAUUAUAUAAAUAUAGUAGCCAUCUCAUUUCUCUGGACUAUAAGCCUCACUACAUGUACUUUCCGGUAUACACACCAUGGUAUGCUGACAUAAUAUGGCUUUAUCCUCCUGUCUCGCUGGCUUUUUGGUUAGGCUACUCAAGACACAGAUUUACUAUGGUACCAGAGGCCAAACAGAAAUUUUUACAGAGCUUAAGAAGGGCAUGUACUCUUUGUGGAUUAUUUUUUAAAAUGUUAGUGGGAUUAAUUUGGAAGCACUCAGCUAUCUCUAACCUUAUUAUCAGUGAACUAAAUUGGCACCAAACCUUUGAAAAAUGAUAAGAAAUCACAAUAUUGCCCCCCUAUUUAAGGUAUUGAUGUCCAUUGUCAGGUCAAUCGUCAAUGUGAAUUAUGUUGUCGUGACAAUUUGAUCUACCUUUUUGCCACAGAAAGUACCUUUUCAUGUAGACUGUUUGGGAAUAAAAUUGGGAGGGGGUGCCUAGAGAAAAAAUAAUUAAAAGAAUGGGUUGGAAGGUAUGUUAUUGAUCGAAGAAUGGGUUGGAAGGUAUAGAUUAGAUUCUAAAACUUGAAUUUUGGAAAUAUCUUGUAAAGAUUUUUUCUUUAUAUAUAAGAAGAAAUCUCUUGUAAAUAUUUGUGCUAGUGAUGUGAUGAAAGCCAUAUAUCCAACGUCAUGCAUUCAGUCACAUGCUCUUUAAUCAACUAAUUUAGCAGCCAAUUAUUCAUACCCCUCUAGUAUUGUUCCUCUUAUUGCUAUUAGCAUUCCCUCAAACUACAAGGGAAGAUUUCAUUGGGGAUGAUGACUUUUCAGUUAUGUAGUUAUUCUUCUGGAAGUUGUUGUGACUAUUUCAAUGACUUCGUUUACUGUUUCGUUGCUGUCUUUUGAAUACGUAGCGUAUCUGAAUUAGGAAGUUUGACUGAAUUGGUGAUACAUUAAUUACAUGUUUAUUUUGUAAAAAUUGAUAUUACUAGGUUGCAGCAAAGAAGCAAACAUUUUCCUCCUUUGAGGAUUUGCUGGCUACUUCUGACAAACCUAUUUUGGUUGACUUCUAUGCAACCUGGUAAGCUUUCUUGUUUAUUUCACUUUGUAUUUCAUUCAUACGGAAAUUCUCUAAUUAUGAAUAUUAGAAUGCACAAAAAGGUGCUUAUUCUCUCAUGCGUGUAAGAGAAAAGCCCUUCAUUUAAAUUAACGACAAGGGAUCGUGAGUAGAAAUGGUCCUAUAUUGUUACGAGGCUGUAUAGCCAUUUUAAUUGAUCUAUGCAGAAUGAGUUACUUUCAAACUAGUAUAACCUUUUGUAACUUUCUAAUUAUUGUUAUAUUGUCAGUAAAAACUUGACUUCCUGAACAAGAUGAUAAUUGUUCACCUAUUAGGUCCCCCUCUCUCUUCUCUCUCUCUCUCUCUCUCUCUCUCUCUCUCUCUCUCUCUCUGCCUUGAAAGGAAGGUAACACGUCUUGAGUAACAAAAUCUGCGGUUGACAGGUGUGGUCCUUGUCAAUUUAUGGCUCCUAUCCUCAAUGAAGUGAGUAUUACUCUGAAUGACAAGAUCCAGGUGGUGAAAAUUGACACUGAGAAGUAUCCUAGCAUUGCUGAUAAAUACAACAUACAGGCAUUGCCUACUUUUAUCAUAUUUAAGGAUGGAGAACCAUAUGACCGCUUUGUAAGUUGAAUUUGCUUUCUUCUUUCCUGAAAAAUACUACUUCACUUGUAUAGAUGAUUAGUUUGCCUCUGGUAGAUGAUCACAUACCUGGAAAUGUGUAAUCUAUCUCAUAAUUUCUCAUAGUGAUUGCAUCCUGUACAUAGGGCUAGAAUAUGGAGCGGUAUUGUUUUCUUUUUCUUUUUUUGAGUACAUGGAGUGAUAUUGUUAUUGUUGUUGCUGUUAUGAAUUGAUGUUAAUUUCCCUUUUUAGAUUUUGUAAUAUAACUAUGCAUGUGCUUUGGUUUGUCCAAUAUCAUCAGGUGUGUCCCUUUGCAUUCUUUUUUCAUUGUUUUGUCUGAUUUACAUGCUAAAUUAUGAAGAAUGUAUGCUUAAUAAAUUAUGUAUGUUCUCUGUGCCAUGUAUUUAAGCCAUUAUUAGAAUAAUCAUUACCAUCAUCAGUUUGAUAUUGGUUUUCUUCUUCUAAUUUGACGACUUCUUCUUUUUUCGGAUUCGGAAAAUUGAUUUCAUUCCUUGCAGGAGGGUGCUUUGACUGCCGAUCAGCUUGUCGAACGAAUUGAAACUACUUUGAAAGUUAAGCAAUAGGCAGGUGAGCUUUAUACAUUCAUGAGAGAGCUCUUAUAUGAAUCUGUUGUUUCUCUGCCCCCCCUCUCCGUUUCCUGACCAAUCUUCUUUUGUCAGUCCAGCUUCUCAGGUUGAACCGGGAAAUUGGUCUAUUCAGAACAUUGGAAGAAAUAUGGAUUUGAUAGAGGAGGGCAUGGGAAGAUCAGUCAUUAUUGGAUGUUCCUCUGCUUUUUACUCUUUGUAUGUAACUGUUUUGUACUUCGAAAAAAAAAAAGAAAGAAUUUGUUCAUCUCAUUGGUGGAUUUUGUGCGGGUAAAGCCUAGGAUUUUAUGACGACUUCUGUUAUACACAACAACAACCAAAAACAGUUUCAUUAUAUUCAAAAUCUUGAAUUGGAAAGUUGAUGGAAAUUUGGCGUGAUUGAUCAUAUGGGCCUUCAUUUGUAAUGAAAUUUACCUCAGAGUUGAGCUUGAAUUGGAGUUUCAGAUAAAGACCUUAUGUUGGAUGUUUUUGCAUAAAAAUCAGGUUCAAUUGGCAAUUGGUGAAGAGAUACGAGUCCUUUUGAGAAUUAAUUGCUUACUGCGUAUAAUCAAUUCAAAACUAACAGCCUCAAGAUUUUACGAUUGUAGCUCAAAUGAUUAAAAGUAGUUAUUCGUGUAUUUAAAUUCCUGUUCGAAUCCCCCUCCCUUAAGAUUGUUUUUAAUUAAAAAUAUCUAUAAAAUGAAGUAGCCUCUAGAUUUCUGUAUAAACCUCCCCCAAAUAUUGAUGAAUUUUUUAUUUUCUAAAUUCUAACAAUCAAAUAUGUUAUGUUGUUACAAUUUUUUUUUUAUUUUCAAAUUAUGUUGUUGCACUUUUUCUUUCAAAUUAUGCUACAUUGUUAUGUCCAGGUUGUAAAUACUAUUUAUUAAUAAUCCCUGAGCAAAGCUGCAAUGGAGAUGGAGAUGGAGAUGGAGAUGAGAGCUGAGGAAGACAUAGAGAUAGGAGAAGACAUAACCCCACCACUCACUCCCCUCGGCUUCGCUCUCCACGACUCCCUUCUCUCCUCUCACUGCUCUUCCUGCUUCUCUCUCCUGCCUCCCCACCCUUUCCCUCCUCUCCACUUUACCCCCCCCUUUCCUCAUAAUCCCCACCAUGUCCUCUCCUCCUCCUCCUACUGCUCCCCUCUCUGCUCCACUUCCGAUUCUCCCCUCCACGUGUCCAGCGCCGAGCUCCACCUCCUCCACCUCCUCCAAUCCCACCCCUCCACGUACCCCCACGGCGACUCUUCCGACCUCCGUGCCGCCCUCCGCCUCCUCCACUCCCUUCCCGCCACGGGUCCUUCCGCGCGCAUCGCCGGCCUCUUAACCAAUCACCACAAGUUCCUCCACCACGACGACCACCACAGAAUUCGCGACGGCGCCAGGGCUAUGUUCCUUGCCAGAAAGAUGCGCGACGAAGCUCCAAACGUCUGUUCCGAUAAUUCUUCUUCAGUUUCUCCAGACGACGCCGUCUUGGAGGAGGCUGCGCUGUGCCUGGUGCUAACCAACGCCGUGGAGGUGCAGGAUAAGACCGGGCGCACCCUUGGAAUUUCCGUCUACGGUCCCAGCUUCUGCUGGAUCAACCACAGCUGCUCUCCCAAUGCUUGCUACCGGUUUUUGGUGUCGCCGCCGCCGCCACCACCUUGCUCAGCUGAAAGGACGCCUCUCCGCAUUGCCCCCUUGGGCCAAGGAACACAAGUAAUCCUUGAAAUUUUUACUAUUUCCAUUUUUUCUUUUUAAUUUAGUAUUUUCAGCUAUAAAAUUCAGAGCUGUGGGAUUGAUAUUUGUUGCAGAUUGAGAGUGGUGUUUGUAGCAAUAAUGUAUUUAUAAAAGGUGUUGUGGUCCUUAUUGCUUUCUUUUCACUUCUAAUUUCUUUUGUUUGUUCGAAUUAGAGUUUGAGAUUUCCCUGUUUUGUUGAACUUUAGCCAAUAUGAAUGCAGAAUGCGUUAGUUAUGGUCCAAGAGUGAUAGUUAGGAGCAUCAAGAGAAUCAAGAAAGGAGAGGAAGUUACAGUUACCUACACUGACUUGUUGCAGCCAAAGGUAUCUUUAAUUUCUCCACAAACUGGCUUAUAGCAAGACAACCCAGCUUCUUUCUGCUGUACGGGGCUUACCCAAAUCCUUGGCGAUUUGAUUUAUCAUUUACUUAUUUCCCUAAAAAAAAUUAUUGCAUUUAUGUUCUAUGUUAAGAAGUUCUUUCUUUGUGAUCGUAUAUUUUGUCAUGAUUACCCCCAGGCAAUGAGGCAGUCAGAGUUAUGGUCAAGGUAUCGGUUUAUCUGCUCUUGUACAAGAUGUAGUGCGUCACCCCUAACUUAUGUGGAUCAGGUUUUGGAGGUGGGAAUUCAUGAAAACUUAUUGUUUACUUUCAGAAAUCGCUGGGUUCAAGCUGAUAUCCAAAAAAAUUAUGAUUGCAACAUGGUGACAAACUUCUCUAUUAUUGUUGUUGUGUGCAUCCAUUUAUUACCUAUUUGUAUCAUUCCCUCUGACCUCAUGGAUCCAUAUAGUCCUGAUAAUUUCAGCCAUGCCUACUUUUCUUCUAAAUAACCACAGUGAGGUAAAGUAACUUGGAGGGUUUCUCAUUUUAUCCCUUCCUACUGUUUGAACCUUCAACCCCGCCUUCUUGCGACUGCAUGCCUAAAAUCUAGUAGUUCUUUGGUUCAAUACUUUUUAUGAACAUGGCAGUAAUUUAAGAAUUCAAGCCAAAUGUCUGACUUAUGCCUACCCUCAUGCCUGAGUUCCAGAUUUGUGGCGCUGAAGAAUGAAGAUGGGUGUUGAUCCAAAUGUUAUUUUGAUACUAUCGCUGGUUCUACAAUUAUAUUCAAAUUCUUAAUUAAAUACUAAUUCUUAAGUAUGUUUGGAGUUAUUCCCUAAUAUCCUUAUAAUAAUGGUUUUACAGAAAUUUCCAGAUCCCACUAGUAUUGGUAUGUAUAACUUUUGUGUUUUUUUCUCCCCUUAUUUAUAUAGUUGAACAAAAGUACCUUUUCAACUUGAACAUGAAGUACCAUCCUAACCAUUUUUCUUCUAUUCUACCUGGAGAUAACUGAAUGCUCUGGUGGAGUAUCUUGGACAACUAUUAACCUUUGGCUCAAUACUCCAGGAAAUAUCUGCAGCCAAUUUCAACUCUUCCAGUUUGAGUUCAGAUAUAAACUUCAAUAGAGAUAAGGCAACCCAAAGGUUGACCAAUUACAUUGAUGAUGCUAUAGAUGACUACCUGUCAAUUGGUGAUCCUGAAUCUUCUUCUGUGAGGCUUGAGCAUGUGCUUACCCAAGGUCUCUCAGAUAAGCAGUCAGAGUGCAAGGAAGAAACAUCUCAGCUGACUUACUGGUUGCACCCCUUGCACCACCUCUCUCUAAAUGCCUACACAACAUUGGCUUCAGCGUAUAAAAUCCGUGCUACUGACUUAUCAGCUUUAUAUUCCAAAAUGGAUGAUCAUCUACUGAAUGCUUUAGACUUGAGCAGGACCAGCACAGCAUACUCCUUGUUACUUGCAGGUGCAACUCACCAUCUGUUUCGCUCUGAAUCUUCUCUAAUCGUAUCUGUUGCGAAUUUCUGGUCGAGUGCAGGAGAGUCCUUGCUAACUCUUGCUAGAAGCUCAGUCUGGAGUCAGUUUGUCCAACGGGAUCUACCUGUGUCAAACCCAAGUUCUACUGGAAAGUAUAGAUGUCCAAACUGCUCAUUGGCAGAUAAAUUUGAAACCGACUCAUUUCAUGGUCAAGUUCGAUAUGCAGAUUUUGACUAUGUAUCAAAUGAGUUCGUUGAUUGUGUCACUAAUUUUACACAGAAUGUUUGGAACUUUUUGGGUCUCGGUUGCCAGUAUCUGAGAUUGGUUAAGAAUCCUAUAGAUUUCAGCUGGCUUGGUACGGUAAGAUAUUCCAGUGUAGGGGAAGAUAUUGUUCGAUCUAGUGGCACUGAAGUGGCUUCUAAGUGUGGGGCUGGGAGAAGAAUAUCUGGAAGUGAAGCAGAGGGAUACAACAACCAGGUAAGGAUAUGUCUUUUUAAGCUUGGUGUCCAUUGCUUACUUUAUGGAGGAUAUCUAGCGAGCAUAUGUUAUGGUAAUUCCCAUUUGACUCGUAAUGUUGGUAAAAUUUUAGAUUUGGAAGAAAGCAUUGAAUCCUUGUCAUGAACCAGAUUGAGUUUUAGAACUUGCAAGUUAAAUUUAUACUUGAUUUAUUGUUAAUUGUUGUAUUUAGUUGAAAGUUAUAUGCCCAUUAAAGUUUUCUGUAUCAAUUAUCAAUGUCAGUUUGCAUGAAAAUUAAAAUUUAUAUUUUGACCACGUUUAUAUGUACAUUGUACUUGUGGUUUUCACCUCCAAUUUUAUUCUUCUUGCAUUCCUCCCCAAGGAAUCAGCUGCAAAUCUCAAAGUUAUAUAUCUGUUAAGAGCUCAUGGGUAAAAUUUGCCCACAAAACCGGCUUGUAAAGGAAGGGUGCCCAAGAGCUCUUAAGUCAUUCUAGGAUAUGCUAUUUUGUUGAUGUGGGAUCUUCCAUCCUAACAGUAUCUAGGGAUGAGAUUUGAUUUCAUUUGAUAGAGGAGAUCAAACCUCGCCAAUCUACUUCUGGAAAAAUCACGUAAAGAAAAUUAUAUGAAAGUCAAAGGUUAGCGUGUGGUAUCUAUCACAAAAACGCUUUCACAGUGGUCAUGUUAAAUAAGGAUUGAGCUUCGAUUCUUUGGAAAGCUUGCAAGAGAACAGGCAAUAAGUUAGGUGUUUGAAUAUUACGUGUACCUUUGAAUUAUGUUGGGUGGAUAUAUUAGGCUUGUAACCUAAAACCAAUUAGUACGAGUGAAUAAGGCCAAGUCAUGCUUCCUUGGUCUCUUUUUCUUUUGUCUAAUAUUUUUUUUAAUAUAAGCGAUGUUUAACUUUAAACUAAUUUAAACUACAGGGAGAGGAAUUCAAACUCGGGUGUAAAAUAAGAGCGCAUCCGCCCUAGCCAACUUGGCUAAGUGCUUGCUUUCUUUUAAUUUUGGGGUUGCAUUAUAUUAUAUAUGUCUCUCUCAAAUAAACAAGUAUAAUAUAACCAAUAUUUGUGUAAGCAUGUAUUACACUUUUGCCUGAAUAUUAAUCAGACCGAAAAAAGAAUAAACUCAUUAGUAUCAGCCGCUGCCCUGGGACCAAAUGAGCAGCUCUGGGACGUGGUGGCAUCACCGUCACCGGAGGUGGUGGUGCCAUCUCCAAAAUGUUGGUUGUGCUGGUGAUGGUGGCAGUCGUCAUGUUUAGCUAGGGGAGGAUGGUAGUACAACCGGCUGGUUUGGGGGCAAUGAGAAUAAGACCUGGAAACUAUUCUCGCGCCUUGAUCCAAAAUCUCCACAAACUUCAUCCCCAUUUUGCUCUCUUAUUAAUCUCUGUAAUCUUUGUAUGUAUCUGAGUCUCUCUCCCACUCUUGAGAAAAGAAAGGCCGAGAAAGUGAAAGAAAAUGAAGGAAAAAGAGACGAGAUUUGAAAUUAGUUGGGAGAGAGACUCAGAGAGAGAUUUGUGGUGUUCUCUGACGGUAGAGGCGGAUGUAGGCUUGUUUAUAUAGCUGCCUUCCUUCAUAUUUUGCCUAAUAUUUUUUUUUUAGGUGCUUCGUUGGUCCUUCACAUUUUUCCUGUAAAUUCCUUUUCUGGCAAUGUAUUUGCAAAUCGAUCCCUUCAUUUCUAGUAUAUUUGACUUUAGUUAUCCAUUUAUACCACAUUUCUCACACUUUUAUUUAAUUGCUUAUUUCCCUAGAUUUGUGCAAGUACGUAAAGCACUUGUACUUGUAUAAUUUGUGUAGUUUGAGUGUGAUUGCACGUAUUUUAGGAUUUAUUUCUCUAUAUGUCGGUAACAAAAUCUUGACAUAUGAAUAAUUUGUUAUAAUGGAAUGACCAAGAUUUUCCUUGUUCUUCAUAAUUGAGUUCUUAUAAAAUGUAAAACAAGAUUAUGAAAUAUUGUUGAAUGCGUUUUGUAAUAUUUUAGUAACAAAUCUGCACUUAAAAGAGUUGCAAGGAAAAGAUAAACAUAUAGAUACGCGGAAAUACAGGGGCUUAAGAAUAAUUAAAAUUACCGAUUUUACCGGGACCAAGACGCGUCAGAGCUAAGAACACGGCUUCUAAACUUGCACACAAAAUGGUCGCCUGAGUUGUGCUUACAAGCACCAACUCUGUUAUUGGUAAUUUUACAACAGAGCAAAUAAAUCCAAAAAGAUAUUUAUUUUUAUUUUUAUAGUAAGUCUAUAUUAUUACGAGGAUUUUUAUUUGUUUAUUUCUUUACUUUCUUUUGCAUCUCCGUUUGAGUGUAUGCAUUCUAAAGUUUCAAAUUUGAAAUUCUUGGUGGGACUUGUAGUUCUAAUGUAGCUAAAUAAAAUUUAGUUUAAAUUCAAAUUUGAAUUUCUCAUCCUCUCAAUUUUGUUAUUAAACCAUAAAUCUUAGUUAUUAGGGGCGUUAGUUGGAUUGGCCCAAGUCUUUGGUGUACUCAUAAGUGGUUCUGAGUUCAAACCCUCACGGUACUCUAUGUGUGUGAGUUUCACCCCUCUCCAUUCCUAACUUUAGUAACCCAAAAAAAAAAAAAAACCAUAAAUCAAUAUUCUUGUUGACACCGAAAAAUCAGAUGCUCACAUCACAUUAAAGUGAAGCCGAAUUAAACUUGACUUGCCUUAGAAGGAAUUAUGAAAAAAAAAAAUGUAAGUAGUGCCUUCACUCUAGGUUUCAAUUCCUUCAUCUCUUGCUAUCUCUUGGAUUAAACAUAUCAAUUUUCAUUAACAAGAAACUUGUAGUUCAAGUGAUUUAGAUCAAUAAAUAUACACGAGAUCCUGUAUUUUAAUUCCUCAUUCCCCAAUAGUAGCUUGUAUUUAAAAAGAAUAUUACCUUUUAAUUUUAAAAAGUUAGGAUAACUAUUAAGAUUCUUAAACUGUGUGCACAUCACUUUUCUUUCUUAACAACAAAAUAUGAAAAUAAAAAAAAUAAAAAAUUUAAAGAGGAAAUAUUUUUUAUCAUCACCCAUUGGGGCCAUCCCUUUCUUUAUUUAUCUUUUUGAAAAAGAGUACAAAAAAUAGCAAGGAAAUCAUCCGAAACUCAAAUAUGAGAGGUAGGUACAAUAGCGUAAUCUUUAAAAAAGAUUCGCGGCAUGAACCAAACACAAGGAAACAAUUUAAAAGAGAAAAAACCAAAAGAAUCUUGGGCCAUCCCUUUCCUUGGCCCACAAGAUAAAAGCCCUCCAAUUUCAUUUUUGAGAUCCGAGAAUGCAUUUUGUAGCUUAAUUAAAAUACAGUUUCAAAAAAUAAAAACAAAGAAAACGUGCUUGGUAACAUAAACAAUGUAUGUGUCACUUAUCUCAACUUUUUUGCAAUUUUCAUUGAAAAUAAAUCAUUUAAUCAGCUUGUAAGCCAAUUGUAAAAUUCAUUUUGUCCAAUCCAGAAGAAAAAAAGUGUAAAUCAACAAAUAAAAUAGAAUUAUAAUGGUUUUUAAAGGCUAAAAUUAUCCUAAACAAAAACUAAAGAGAACUGUAGCAAACACAAAAACGUCAGAGCUUCCUAGAGACCCUGGGAUAAUUGAUUUUUUCUUUGGGGUCAAUAUAAUUGAUUAUUUUAUGUUACAUCAUUAUAGUUGCUAAUGGAGAUUCUUCAAUAAGUAUUUUAUGUUAAGAAUUGGUUACAUACUUGUAAUCUCGUUCGUUGAAUUAUAUUAAUGAAAUGCAUUAGUCCAACUAUGGAAAUUAAAAAUAUGCAACUACUACUUAACUUGAAUAUUUAUUGGAGAAUUUCUCUAGUUACUAAUAUAACCAAACCACUGGUAAUUUCGAUCUGAACACCACUGGUUGUUUUGUUAGCUCCCAAAAGUCUUGGAGAAAUUUCAUUCCCUCAACUGAAAUUAGAAAGAUAAAAAAUGCAAGGAGGUGUUCCGUCGCCAAGACUCACAUCGUUGAUGUCUUUCAAGUGGGAGGUCAAUUGGCAAACGUGAUUGUGGGCACUGUGUCUGAAUCUGAUAGAUGAUGUGAGAGAAGGUAUGUUGAGUAAUUCUAGCUGGUUAUGUUUAUUGAGUACUUUGCUGCUAUCAAAUAUUUAUGAAUCUACAAUCUGGGCAUGAUAAAUCAAUGAAAAAGAGGAGUUUCGGAAGAAAAAUCUCUUAUGCCGGAAAACCAUUUUCCGUGUUUUCAUCUUUGGUCUACCGAGCGCGUUUUCCGUCUCUUCUCUCACUUGGGAAGAAAAAGACCGCACAAAACCAACUUCAAGCCUAUUAAUAAUUCUAGUCCUAUUCCUAUUCUUAUUCCUAUUCCGUCAAGGAAACCCAAAUGCCUCUCUUUAUAUUAAUCUCAUGCCUCACAACACAAACUUUGCCCUUCAUUGCAGGUUUGCAGCAAACUGUUGGAGAGCAGAGUGAGUUUUGAAGAUACAAAUACUCGCAAUAAUCACAGAAUCACAACAAUGGUGUUCAUCGCAUCCCCCAACCACAAAACCCUAACCCUAAACCUAAACCCAAACACCACCACCCUCCAAGCUCUGAAAUUCCAAAUUGAACAAAUUUCCAACGUACCCAUCUCUCACCAGCGCCUAUUCAUCUCCCAAAGCCUCCAAUUGUUGACCCAAAGAGACUCCACCCUCCUCGCUGACCUUGGCAUCAAACCCUACUCUACCCUAACCCUCCACGUCCCCUUCUUCGGUGGCACCCUACCCCACAAAAAUCCCAAACCCCGCCUUGAUUUCCUCAAUUCCAAGCCUCCUGAGGGUUAUGUCGCUGGGCUUGGCCGUGGUGCUUCUGGGUUCACCACAAGGUCCGACAUUGGGCCUGCCCGAUCUGCCCCCGAGCUGCCCGAUAGGGCAAUUGGGCAGCUUGAGGAAGCAGGGGAGGAAAAAGGGUACGAUGAGAAUCAGCAAUUUGAUGAUUUUGAAGGCAACGAUGUUGGGUUGUUGGCACCAGAUGCCAAACUGGAUGAAGAUGAUGAGAAGGCUGAUGCAAUGUGGAAAGCAGUUGAUGAGAGAAUGGACUCCAGGAGAAAGGACAGGAGAGAGGCUCUGUUAAGAGAAGAGAUUGAAAAGUACAGAGCUUCCAAUCCCAAGAUUACAGAGCAGUUUGCAAGUUUGAAGAGGAAUUUGCACACAUUGUCUGCCCAAGAAUGGGAGAGUAUACCUGAAAUUGGGGAUUAUUCAAUGAGAAACAAGAAGAGGAGGUUUGAGAGCUUUGUGCCGGUGCUGGAUACCCUUUUGGAGAAGGCAACGCAGGAGAAAGAGCUUGUUACUGCAAUAGAUCCCACUAGUACAGAUUUGACUGCCGUGAGGCAGGGCAGAGAUAUAGUGUUGUCUUUGAAAUUGGAUAGGAUUUCGGAUUCUGUCUUGGGGUUGACAGUUGUUGACCCAAAAGGGUAUCUUACUGAUCUUAAAAGUAUGAGCAUCACAAGUAAUACAGACGUUCAUGAUAAAAACAAGGCUAGAUUGUUGAUGACGAGUUUAAUGAAGUCAAAUCCUAAGAACCCACGUGUGUGGAUUUCGGCAGCAAGGUUUGAGGAAGUGGCAGGAAAGAUGAAGGCAGCCAGGAAAUUGAUUCAGGAAGGGUGUGAUGAGUGCCCUAAGAGUGAGGAUGUGUGGUUGGAGGCUUGUAGGCUUGCUAGCCCCAAAGAUGCUAAGGCUGUUAUUACUAAGGGAGUUAAAUUUAUUCCCAAUUCAGUCAACUUGUGGAUGGAGGCUGCGAAAUUGGAGCGUGAUGAUUUGAACAAGAGCAGGGUCUUGAGGAAAGGGUUGGAACACAUUCCUGAUUCUGUUAGGCUGUGGAAGGCGGUCGUGGAUCUAGCGAAUGAGGAGGAUGCUAGAAGUUUGCUCAAAAGGGCUGUGGAGUGUUGUCCAUUGCACAUUGAAUUCUGGCUUGCACUCACAAGAUUGGAAACUUAUGAGAACGCCAAGAAGGUCCUCAAUAAGGCAAGGGAGAAUCUAUCGGAGGAGCCUGCAAUUUGGAUCACGGCAGCAAAGUUGGAAGAAGCUAAUGGGAAUGUGUCCAUGGUUGGGAAGAUUAUUGAAAGAGGUAUAAGGGCUUUGCAAAAAACAGCGGUUAUUAUUGAUAGAGAAGCAUGGAUGAAAGAGGCUGAAGCUGCUGAACGUGCAGGGUCUAUAAUGACUUGCCAAGCUAUCAUUCGGAGCGCAAUUGGGAUUGGUGUGGAGGAGGAAGAUAGGAAGAGGACAUGGGUUUCUGAUGCAGAGGACUUCAUGAAAAAAGGUUCCAUUGAAACAGCCCGAGCAAUUUAUGCGCAUGCACUUACUGUCUUUUUAACCAAGAAGAGCAUAUGGAGGAAAGCAGCUCAGCUUGAAAAGAGCCAUGGUUCUAGGGAAUCUCUUGUUGCUUUGCUUCGUAAAGCAGUGACAUAUUGCCCACAGGCUGAAAACUUGUGGCUUUUUGGUGCUAAGGAGAAGUGGCUUUCAGGGGACGUGCCUGCUGCCCGUGCAAUCCUCCAAGAAGCUUAUGCUGCCGUUCCCAACUCUCAAGAAAUUUGGCUUGCUGCGUUUAAACUUGAGUUUGAGAAUCACGAAUCCGAGAGAGCUAAGAUGCUUCUUGCCAAAGCCCGAGAAAGGGGAGGUAACGAAAGAGUAUGGAUGAAAUCUGCAAUUGUUGAGAGGGAAUUAGGGAACAUUGAUGAGGAGAGGAAGUUUCUUGCUGAAGGCUUGAAGCGCUUCCCAUCAUUCUUUAAAUUGUGGUUAAUGCUUGGACAGCUAGAGGAACGGCUUGAUCAUUUGGAAAAAGCCAAAAAGGCCUAUCACUCAGGUCUGAAGCACUGCCCCAAUUCUCUACAACUCUGGCUUUCUCUCGCUAAUCUAGAGGAGAAAAUGAUUGGGCUGAGUAAAGCUCGCGCAGUUCUCACAAUUGCCAGGAAGAAGAACCCUCAGAACCCUGAACUGUGGCUUGCUUCUGUUCGAGCUGAAUUGAGGCAUGGCAAGAAGAAGGAAUCUGAUAUUUUGAUGGCAAAGGCUUUGCAGGAGUGUCCCAAUAGUGGUAUCUUGUGGGCAGCAGCUCUCGAGAUGGUAGCUCGUCCCCAACGGAAGGCAAAGAGUAAAGAUGCCCUUGAGAAAUGUCGUCAUGAUCCCCAUGUUGUUGCUGCUGUGGCCAAGUUAUUAUGGCAUGACAGGAAGUUGGACAAAGCUAGGAAUUGGCUCAACAUGGCAGUAAUGUUUGCCCCCGAUAUUGGGGAUUUUUGGGCUUUAUACUACAAAUUUGAACUUCAGCAUGGUACUGAGGAGAACCAAAAGGAUGUAUUGAACAGAUGCAUUGCUGCAGGGCCAAAGCAUGGAGAAAAAUGGCAACCUAUUUCAAAGGCCGUGGAGAACUCCCAUCAACCAAUUGAAGCUAUCUUGAAGAAAGUUGUGGCGGCAGCAGAAAAUAAUAAACAGUAGUUCUGCUUAUCAUAGAGGUAUAAAAAUUAACCUGUGCUUCUGAUUUUUGCUACUUAGAAGUAGUUGGUGGACAAACUAUGCUGAUGUAUAUCUAUCCCAGAAUUUGGAACUGCAAUUGUUUCACAUCUUAAUUAUAUGACUGUUUCCUCCAAAAGAUUUCCAUUUGAUUGCUUUUAUUUCAGUUCAGCUCUGCAUCCAUUUGUUCUGACUUGAAAUCUGUCUAGAUAAAGAAGUUAUUUUUAAUAGUUCUUGAAAUAUUACAGGGGAUGGAAAAACAGAAAUGUGACAGUGGAUGCAUAUGCAGUUAUGCUUGAUCGAUUUGUUUAGCAGAAUUCGCAAAUGACUUGGCAAUAGUUGCGAACAUGGAAGUCACCAUGCUGUCAUAGGGAAGUUGGAUUAAUCUGCCUUGGGAUACAUGAUAUUAGUUGGAUCAAUUAGUUUCUUUCUUUCUUAUCCUAAAUUUUCCUGUUAAUUUAUUACCUCCAGGCAAUGAGGCAGUCAGAGUUAUGAUCAACGUAUCGGUUUAUCUGCUCUUGUAGGAGAUGUGGCCUAACUUAUGUAUAUGGACAAUGCUUAGGAGGUAAAUUCAUGAAAGCCUAUUAUUUAUUAAUCCAAACUUUCACAUAUAAUCAGAAAGAACCCAGAAGGCUAAACUUCUUUUGAUUUUAGCUCCCCUAUAAUAUGAUCUGUUAUUUUUUAUUUGGGAAAAAGCUUAUUCUUCUACAGAAUUUUUUUGAGUUUUUCUAGUAUAUUAAUACUUAAAUCUGGAUUUUUUAUUCCUUAUGUACUUUUUGCUGGUAACUUUGAAGAGAAGUACCUUUUUCAAAUUUGGACCAUGAACUGUCUCCUAACCAUUUUUCUCCCAUUCUACCGCUCAGGACUUAAUGUCCAAAACUCAGUUUUGUGAGUAUUCUGACGGAGUGUAUUGAGCAAGUACUAUAACCUUCAGCUGCAACCCUCAAGGUAAUAUCAGCAUCCGAUUUCAACUCUCUCUCUUUUGAGGUCAGACAUAAACUUCAAUGGAGACAAGGCAACCGAAAGGUUGACUUAUUACAUUGGUGAUGCUAGAGUUGAUUAACUCCGGGAAAACUCUCGUUUGAUAUCUGGGACGUCAACUCCUGGUUAUGAAAAGCCAUAUUUGGGUGUUGGGUUUGGGUGUCAUGAAUUUUUUUUUUUCUUUCUUCAAUUUGUUCUAAUUUUGUAUUUAUUUUAACCCUCUUUUUAUUUGUUAAUUAUGAAAAGUCAUAUUUACCCUAAAUUUUGGUUAAAUCUAAUAGAAAAUUAGACGGUAUGACCAAUUUGCCGAAUAAUAUAGAGUUGAUGGACUAUUUAAACGAAUAAUUUAAUUGAGGGAUCAAAAUGUAAAUUGAUUAGAAGUUUGAGGACCAUUUAAGUAAAUUUAUUUAUUUAUUUAUUUUUGUGGUAAAAGAAUACUAUAUUCUAGUUAGCAUUGUAUUAUAUAUUCAAUCACAAUGACAUAGAUGAUAUGUUUACCAUAAUGUAAUAUAUAACGCAUGAUGACUAAAAUAGUAAUAGUGCAAUAACAGUUCAACAAGUUCAGCAUAUUUUCAGAGAAGUUUUUUUCGCAGUGGAUGCUUUUAGGGGUGGGCACUCAAACCGGCGAACCGGAAAUCCGAACCAAACCGCACCGAACCAAACCGGAAAAAAAUCGAGUUGACCAAAAAGUCAAAAACCGGUCAAAAACCGAACCGGACCGGUUUGGACCGGUUCCGGAUCCGGUUUCAUGUCUUCAAAAACCGAACCGGGCCAAACCGAACCGGUGAAACUAAAAAAAUAUAUAAUUUCAAUAUAUAUAUUUAUAUUUAAUGCUAUAUUUUUAAUUUCACUAAAAAAAACAUAAUAUUUAUCCAAGUUCAAUGUCAAAAUAUCUCUAUUUUCUCACUUUAAUAUUUAUUUUUAUAUGAAAUUGAAUAAUUUGUUAAUUUUUAAGUAAAAAAAUAAUAUUUCAGUUGAGAAUUGUAUUAAAAAGUAAUUUAAAAAAAUAAUUUUUAUAAUCCGGUUCAAAAUCGAACCGGAACCGGACCGAAACCGGUUCAAACCGAACCGGACAGUUUUUGAAAUUUUUUUUAUUAAAACCGAACCGAAUCAAACCGGAUGAAUAGUAUUGGAUCGGUUCUAAUUUGAGGCAAAAACCGGUCCAAACCGAACUGUGCCCACCCCUAGAUGCUUUAGCUCAAUUGAGACAGUUUACUACUUAACCAGACUAUUUGGUUUUCAAAUCUUCCUUUUUCUCUAAGUUACAAAUUUGUUCUACGAUCUUUGGAAAGUAGUGCUGUAGUGGACUAACCAUGUGUCCACUUUUAGAAAAUUGUACGGUUUCUGUUUUGGGGUCUGAAACUGAGGCCGAACUAAGUACAAUUGGUUUAGUCCAAAAUCACGAAGAUAACCGAAUCAAAUAAAACCAAUUUAAGAUGGUUUGGGCUUAUGUUCAAUUCUUUUUUUUUUUUUUUUUUUUUUUUGUUUUUUAUGAAACAGUAGUAAUUCAAUUGAAGAUACAUGGCACAAAUCCAGGAUACAACAAUAAGAACACAGCUCCGAAAGGAGGUUCUUGCAAUACAGACUGUAACAACACCAACUAAGUACAAGUAUUACAAGAUAGUUAGAAAAUAAAUAUACGACUUGAAACCCAGCUAACAAGGAGUUACAAAGGACCCUAAUUUUGCAGCAAAUAGUGCUUAAAAAAGAUCAAGAUAGAGAACAAACUCUCAAACUUCAUGGGACAAGAAACACCCCAAGAGUGGAGGGCAUAACCGCUCAACUUCCACUAGGACAUUCCAAAUAAUAUCACAGCAUCUCCUAAUCCCCCUUGAUCCCCAAGCACAAUAAAAGUAGAUCCAUCAAAUUCAGCAGCUCCACCUCCAGUACAGAGAGAUCUAACACUAGAUCUACCGCACAAGUAGCAGAUCUAGCAAGAUCAACCAAUAACUAGCCCCAAAAGAUUGGGAAACAAACCCUCAAGAAAAGGGAAGAAACAAACCCUUACAACAGCAAGGAGCAAACAAAACCCAACAAAAGUUGGGAGGGAAAACCUCUCCACAACAUAACGGGGGGGAGAGAGGCCCGGAUUAUUAACCGAAGGGGAUGGUUCCAGGGGAGAUCCCCUAGAACCAAGAAGAAUUGCAUAUCUGGAGAAGAAACGAGACGGAGUAUAUUCAAUUAUCUUUCCUUUUGCAUUUUUUUCAAUAUUGUUAGUCAUUACAACCUAAAAAAUUCACAACUUGCUACAUAUGUAUUUUAUUUUAUUUUAAUCAUUUUCUAGCAUAUAAAACCACCCUAAAACUUCACUUCCCAAAGGUCCAUCAACUUCAAAUUCAUAUCCAUAUAUGGUUAUUUCUAACUUGCUUGCCAAUAGGAUCUAGUCUAGUGGAAAAAGGGUCUUGAGUUGCAUAUAAGAGGUCUCAGGUGCGAAUCCCCACGGCAUCAUAGUUGUGUCUGUGUGUGCCGUUGGCAUGCUUUUUAAAAUUUUCAAAUAUGUUAUAGUUUUCUUCAUAUUUACUUGUAAUGUGUUUUGUGAAGUAUUAAUUAUUACAUGUAGCGAAUCAGUGAUAAGUAAACGAUUAAUAAAAAAAUAAUCAGAGUAAUUUCUGUUCUCUUUUUCUUUCAUUGGUAAACCAAGCAUAUGGGAUAAACUAACGUCUCCAAGAUGAAGAACAUCCACAUGAGCAAAUUAUUUUUGUUGUAUCAAUCACAUAUGUAGAAGCUUCAAUCAAGAAGAAAGAUAAAAUGACAUCAAGCUAUCUCGUCUUUUUUGGUUUGGUUUGAACAAAAAGUUACCUCUGAGUUCAAACGUAGAAACUUUGUUGUCUGUGGAAGCAUUUGUUGGUAUUUUCAUAUUCUGAGAUGGAUGUUGUAUCCUUCCAUUAGUUCUGUUCCUUUCUUUUUUAUAUGUCACUGCCCAAGUUUUGAAAGAAAAGCGCAAGGCCACAAUGAACCAAAAACAGUGAAGGGCAGGCCUCCAGUGGCUGAGAAGUUACCUCCCAAAUGCACAAACAUAAUGUUUAAAUAUACAACAUUACAAUGAACAAGUUCAUAAUGAUAAUAAAACCAAAAGUCUUAAAAUUUGAACCGAUUGGCCAAUGGAGUCUAGUCGAGUGAAAAAGGGUCUUGACAAGUAGACCAGAGGUUUCAUGUUUGAAUUCCCACGGCAUCAUAAUUGUGUGUGUAUGAGAAACCCCCUUCUCUUCUAGUUUAGACUAUCGCUUGUACUUCAAAAAAAAAAAAUUGAACUCAUUAAGGUGUGGAAAAAAAAGUUUCAGUUAAGAACAAUGAGAGUAAAAAAUAAAUGCACCAUUGAGAAUUCAACCAAAAAAAAAAAAAGGACAACUAUUAGUUUGUGGUUGGGCCACAUUAAUAGGCAAUGAGUAGUUCCUCUAUGGGCAAGGAAAAUACUUCUCUUCUUACCAGGUAAAUAGGAGCUCCUACAGUCUUGUAAAUAAUAGUGUGACAUGUGUGCGUGUUUCUUUUUAUGUUUUUAAUGAAUUAUUUUUGCAUGUGUCAAAUUGUGAUUCAUAGAAAGGAAGAGCAUCUCUUUACCGGCCAUCAUUCCUGUGGGAAUGUGAAAUGUAGAAUGUAGAAUGAUCCUAUAUGAAUUCUAAUUCCUCUGAAAAUACCAGAUAAAGAAAUUUCUCAGCCAUUGUGCACUUUUUGCACAGAUCUUCAUUCUCAAAUCAGAUUAAAAAUUUUACAAAGAAAAAAACAUCAUUCCUCAACUCUCACGUUAAUGAAUUAUGUUAACACAGCAAUUGUUACGCAUCACAGUAUACACAUGGCAGCUUACGGGUUAUGAAUUCUUCUGCAGCUUAUUGAUUAGGAGACCUUGAGGGCUUUGCCUUAUACAGCUUGUGGUGUCUGUUUUUGAUUAUUCUGUUAUUAGUUCUCUGUUUCUAGGGCUGUUAUUAGUUUAUUUCUGUUUUGUGUUGUUUAAUUAUUCUGUUUUUGUUAAUAUCAUGCUUUAGGAUUGUAUUUAGGAUUUUUUUGUUUUGUUAAUAUCAUCUGUAAGUUUCUGUUUUUGGUUAAUAUCAUGUUUAAUUUUCGGUUUUGUUGGGUUGAGGUGCUGUUUUUAGACUUUUUCUGUUCUUGGACCUUUUCUGUUCAGUAUGCGACAGUGGUCUGGUUGUUAUGCAUGACAUAAGUAAAAUAAGGGUUCUCUAUUCUUCUUUCCUUUUCUUUUUGAUCAAAUCCCAUUUUUUAUUGAAUGAAUCUGUUUCUUCAGCACGGUUCUACUGUUUUAUUUUCCUUAUAUAUAUCACAAUAACUGCCCAAGUUCCUGAUAUUUUUCCAUAAGCCACUGUUGAAAUCAAAAGAUGAAAUUGUUAAUUGAGAACUGUGGUAUUGUGGAUUUCGUGAAAAUUAGAUUUCUAGUGUAAAUGUUUGUGAGAAAGCCUGUUGCCAGAAAUGUUGGAUUUCAUGCGAGAACUUAGGAAGGUACAUCAUCCAUUACCAUCAAAGUGUCUGCUCUGUUUUUUUCAUUUUGGUGGUGGGUGGGAGUCUGUAAGUUUUUGUGCAUGAUCAAAAGCCUUGUUGACUGCAGGUUGUAACAGUGGGCAUUGUGGAAGGGUCUGACCUUUCUAAGAUAACAGAGCAGCUUGGGAAGACAGGUGUGUACUUUUUGCUUAUAGAAAAUAUAAUUCCAAAUGUAUUGGACAAUUAAUUUUGCAUAUGAUACAUCAAUUCAUGCAGUUGUUGUUAGAGCUCAAGUUUAGAUAUUUACUUAUUAUGUAUGCAUAUAUAUACCUCUCAGAAUCAAUUUGUUUAUAUUGGAUCUUGACAACCAAGGAGUUUGAAGGUUUCUGCUUUCUGCCAAAAGAAAAAAAAAUCUAAGCUCAGCUAUUCAAAUUGUUUGGUUGCAUGUAUUGUUGGCCUUUAAAUUGUCUUGGUGAAUCAUAUGCUAAAGGCUGGGGCCUUGUUCCAUUUUCCUUCAACUCUUAGAUAUCCUUGAGUGUUAGUUCCUCAGGAAUAUUAUGGACACAUGCUUAGCAUACAGUGUCCUCAUUAAAGUGAUGUGUUUGAAAUUGAUUUUGUGAAGUUAACACACUCAUACACUGUCAUGGAUCCUUAUGAAUCCAUUGUGUGAAGUUGAUUUUCUUAAGCAUCAAAUGGGCAAAAGUAUGCUCUGAUGGAGUAACCAUUAUUUGUUUCUGAUAGGAUCCAUGACAGUGUUGCAUUCCUUUUCCUUUUCUCCUGCAUAUUUUUAUUUGUUUCUUUACUUGGUAAUUACUCCAAAUUGAAUGAUUUUGCGUUUGGAAUUCUGUAGAGCUUGAAGACAUUUCUUGGAGAAGAGAAGCUGAAGAUAAAACCAUGCUCUGUUGUAUGCUAUGAUUCUCAAGUUCCUUAUUUGAAAGAUACCUAAGGUGUCAAACACAGCAUGUACGAAGAACCUGGAAACUUAAUCAAAUUGUUCUUGAGAUUGAUUUGCGAUGAUCUGUACACAAUUCUGCAGGAAUUUAUCAAUUUUACACUUCAUUAUAUCGCAGACUUGGACAUACCGAUAAACCGCAUUUCGCUCAAAGGGUUGAAGGGAGAUAGUGCAUCAAACUGUUCGCAAGGGCCAACUUGAUCCGGAGGUUAAUGGAGUGGAAGCCUUGUUAAUUCUUAAGCUAUUUAUAGUUAACUUAUACUUACAUUGUCAAUUGUAACUGUAGGGGUACAUUUAUAGAGUUCUGAAGUGGGAUGCUUAAUGUAUCACCAACUGGGCGAAACUGUAGCCAAGAAUAAAGGGAUGAAUUUGAAAGAUAUGACAAGGUUAGACACUUAACCAAAAAACUAAAAUUGUGAGUGCAUGUUCAUUCGAAAUGAUAUGGAUUUUCUUUUUCAUUUGUAUAUAACUUGAAAGAUGAUAUUUGGUCUGCAGGUUCAGAACACACGCCCAAAAAUGGUAUCCGUCCUUCGUGAGAAGUUUGCUCACCUUAACCUGACAUUUUCCAUAGGAGGACAGAUAAGCUUUGAUGUAAGUAAUAGUUGAUAUUCAUUUAUGCUUGAUGAUUACUGGACCAGUCCUUUAUCUAUCCAUCUUAACUUUUGCUUGUCCUCUCCUUGAAUAGUCUGGUAAAGGUCGUUGGGAUGACAUUUGAAAUUGAAAAUGGAUGGUUUUCGAUGCUUGUAACAGGUUUUCCCUCCAGGUUGGGACAAGACAUACUGCUUGAGAUACCUAGAGGACUUUCAAGAAAUUCAUUUCUUUGGUGACAAAACUUACAAGGUUAGUCCGUAAUUUCGGGGCUCUCUACCCUCUUCUUAGUCACAUGGUACCAUUUCGGCAGCUUCCUUUAUGUUAUUUCAUAAGUUCUUUUUUCAUGUUCUCUGUUUUACAUUUAGAUUUCUGGCAUGAAAUUUUCUGUUUUACAUUUAAUACUUCCUUUAUCUGGGCCCUAAAUCUUGUGACUUUCAUCUUCUGCAGGGAGGAAAUGACCACGAAAUUUAUGAAUCUGAACGAACCGUAGCUCAUACAGGUAAGCUCUCAUUUCAGGUCGAAGUUACUUAGGGCCGUCUUAUCAUUGAUGAGCAUUUCCAACAUUUAUCUGAUGCUCUACACUUUUUGCAGUUAUCAGCCCUGAAGAUACAGCCAAGCAGUGCAAAGCCGUCUUCCUGAGCCCCCGAUAUCGUUCCAACUUUUCGGUUUUGUGUUAUACGCCAUUUUCAAACAAGAAUAAGUUAUAUGCCAUUUGUAAUUCUGUAUUUGAGAAUAAAUGUUAAGCAGAAAUCUGAAAUGUGUAGUAUUAUUAUUAGACACAAACAUAUUGGUUCAGAAAUUGCAUUUUUUGCAUUGUAUUUUUUGUACCACUGGUUCCCUAUAUAUUUAAAUCUAUCUUGGAAAGGAUUAUUCACUUUUGCACUUUGCUUCUGCUAGACUUGCUCUAUACUAAAGAAAGAUGUGUGCAGUUGGAUGGUUGGUGCAGCAUAAGGUUAUUAAACUAAUCAUCAUCCUCAUAUCAAAGAGCUAUAAUUCAAUUCUCUCCGAUCCAACCACAUUCAAAAUUUUAAAUUGCACAAUACCAAUUAAUCAACAUACAAAUAAGACUAUAAAUCAAGAGAAAAUCCAAGAUUUUCAUUCUUACACACUUUUUUUUUUUUUUUUUUUUUGCCUAAGGUAGGAAGGGGAGGGGGGAAAUUUACACAGGAUAUCAUGGGGGUUUGAAUCCAAGACUACUUGAGCAUACCAAAGGUCCAGAACCUAUUCUAAACUUAACCCAUUUGAGCUAACUCAAGUUCUUAAUAUUAGACAUUUUUUAGCCUCCAUGAUUGUCUACUUUGGAUUAAAAAAAGAAAAACAAAUGGUGCCAAGAAUCAUCUCAUUAUAAGUCAAGCAAAUGCUUCAUUUUCUGUUAAAAAUAAUAAAUUUCUAUGACAUAGGAAAAUAUUUCAACAAAAAAAAAAAACAAAGAAACAGUCGCACAAAAUGAAAUGAACCAUAAGAAAGAAUGCUCAUUAAAAAAUAAAAAUAAAAACUUAAAAAUGGAAAGUGUUAUAGUAAUUGUGUCUUAAACUGGAUGUAAGAAGAGCACUGAAUCGUUGUUGAGACACUAAAAACGUUGUGUUUAGUUCCAUCAUAACAAUCCACGGCUGCCGCUAACUGGCGGACCCAAUUAAAGACAACUGUGGGUAGCUUCCCACACUUACCAAAAAACACUUCAGCCAUAUAAUCCCACUUCAAUUCAUAAUUUUUAAUUAUUUUUAGGCCCUUUCUAAGUAAAGCCCCCACAUAGCCCAUUCAAUACACACUUAAAGCCCAAAACUUAUAUUAAAAAAGAAAAAUCCUAAACUCUAUGUUAAAAAAGAAAAAUAGAGAUCCCACCAAGUUCACUCAUUCUGUAAUUUUGUGGAGAACUCAGCCACCAAACUCGUUAUUUGACAGAAGUCUACAGCCCAACAAAUCAAACUCACUACUUUAAUUGAUUUUACAAGUUAGCACUUAGUUAUUUUUUACAAACUAAUUUCAUUAUAUUCUUAUUUAUAUGCAUUCAAUUUGUAUUGAUGAUUGAUUUUAUUAUAUAUAUAUAUAUAUAUCUUGAUGAAAAAUAAUAUAAACUAUUUAUGAAAGUUAUGGAAAAAUAUUUUAAAAGAAAAUCCGAGUUGGAGUUGUCGGGACCUAUUGGGAGAAGUGAUGAUAGUUCAAAGCAAAGUUGCAUAGAAAUCAAUAUGUCAGAUCUUCAUUCUGAUCCUGGUUUACGAACUCGGAUUUUAGAUUACAAUCCGAACAUUCGAGAUGAAAUUAGAAGAGCUUACUUACAAAAAGGCCCUUGUCAGCCUAGAAAUCAUGAUUUCCCUCAAAAGAAAUUUGGAAAAGAGUCAAGACGAUUCAACCCAGCAUGGUUUGAUGAAUUCCCUUAUUGGUUGGAAUAUAGCAUCAAAGAAGAUGCUGUAUUUUGCUUAUGUUGUUAUCUUUUUAAAACAAAUUUGGGAGAGAAAGCUGGAAGUGACUCAUUUUUUGGUACAGGUUUUUCAAAUUGGAAGAAAAAGGAAAGAUUUCAAGUUCAUGUUGGAGGUCCCAAUAGUUCCCAUAACCAAGCUCUGAAAAAAUGUCAAGCCUUAAUGAAUGAAAAACAACAUAUUGAAAAUGUUUUCCAUAAGCACUCACAUCAAUCUCGAAUUGACUAUAGAAUCAGAUUGAAUGCAUCUGUUAAUUGUAUUAGAUUUCUUCUACAACAAGGUCUUGCCUUUCGUGGCCACGAUGAGUCUGAGGAUUCAAGCAACCAAGGUAAUUUUCUUGAGCUUUUGCAAUUUCUUGUUGAUCACAAUGAGGAAUUUAGAACUGUUGCUUUGAAAAAUGCUCCUGAAAACCUUAAAGUAACUUUACCUAAGAUUCAGAAAGACAUUGUAAAUGUUGUAGCAGUUGAAACUACUGAUGCUAUUAUUAGAGAUAUGGAUGAUGCAUUCUUUUCUAUUUUAGUUGAUGAAUCUCGUGAUGUAUCAGUAAAAGAGCAGAUGAUUGUUAUGUUUCGUUAUGCAGACAAGAAAGGAUCUGUGAUUGAACAGUUCAUAGGUAUUGAACAUGUUACAAAUACCACAGCUGAGUCACUUAAAGCAAGUAUUGAUGCAUUAUUUUCUAGACAUAAAUUGAGUAUAUGCAGAUUACGAGGUCAAGGUUAUAAUGGGGCUAGUAAUAUGAGUGGAAAGUUCAAUGGUCUGAAGACACUUAUUAUGAGGGAGAAUGAGUCUGCUUACUAUGUUCACUGUUUUGCACAUCAACUUCAGUUGGCUAUUGUGGGUUUGGAAAACCUUAGUUUUAAACCCAGAUUUCUUCUUCCUCUCGAGAAUGUUUCGAACAACCAUUUUCAGACAACCAUUUCUCCUCUGUCUGGCCACCAAAUCGAGUGCCACAACUUGCAAACUCUUCACCUCUCUCUCCUCUUCCCAUACAUACUCAUAUCCAGCCUUGAUUCCAAGCGAAUCAACCAGAAAAUCGAGCCAAAAUUGAGCCCAAAAAGGGGCAGCUUCGAACCCAGAAAGUUCGAGGUAUUUUCCGACAGAUUCCAGCCGCCAUAGCUCAGGUAAUUGCACCCAAACUACUCUCCUACCUUCCCUUUGUGUUAUUCCUUCAAAACACAACGUGAAUCCAUUCCAAUUUCUUUGAUUUUGAAACUAAAUUUUUUUAGAUUUUUUAAGAGACAGAAAGCUUCGUUCGAGAGCUUUAAAGUUUGAAUUGAUCGUCGAGCUAAGGUAUAAAGUUACUCCCCUUGAUGUGCUUAAUCCGUAGGUGUGAUUAUUGGCUGGCGGUUUGGAGUUUUUCGAUAGCCGAAAAAUUGCUCAAUGCACCCACUAGCGGUGGCAGCGCGUGGCAGCGCGUCACCGGGGUGUCAAUGUUAGGUUUUUAUCCUAGAAUGAUCCUCGUGUUGUCACGAGCGCAUAGGAAUUCGCUGAUCUUAAUUUGGAUAACGUUUGAAUCCCGAACGGAUCUCGCAUCUUGUGUGAUUUUCGGGUUCAAUGGUUUUGAACCAUUGAUCGUGCGAUUGUGACCAAACCAACCGUCCAUUUCAGACCAGACUCAUGGGACUUGUGUCCUAGGUUUAAAGGAACGUUAAUGUGGGCAUAGGAGUAACUUUAAUUGGAUGCAUGCACUUCUAGGAGCUAGGAUUUUAUUUAAAUAUUUAUAUCGAGCAGUUUUAUUAAUAUAUAUAUUAUUAUGGUAAUUGAAUCAGGCAUUCGAGCACCAGUUGACCCGCAGAAAGGACCUCCAAAAGGUCCAGCGAGCUCAGACCAGCUGUGAGUGGACUCUUUAUUUUCAUAAAUGAAUUUAUGCUAUUGAGUUACAGUAUUUGAUCUUGAAUCAGUUUUAUUCAAAGAUUAGUGUUUUAUUAGUUGAUGUAUGCUUUUAAAUGUUUUGAAUUCACAUGCGACCGAGUGAGAUAUCUUUUAUGGAUAUAGGAAAAGGAAAUUUUAGCUAAAUAACAAAUAAAUGGCAGCAAAGUUCUAGAUUUAACAGAAAUUCAGUUAUUUAUCAUAUUUUUCAAAGAUUUUAGAUUUUCUUAAGCCACCUUAGGUACCCAGUUAUAGAAACAGGUUGCCUUCGGAUAUGACGAUGUCCACGGACAUCCAGGUUGCCUUCAGUUUUGUCAGCGUGCUUGACAUCUGCCUCACGAGUUUCGGGGACGCCGGAAUCGUGGGAGCCAAGACUGCGGAUCAGGCUUACUACGGUCCCCUCAAUUCUGCCAGUUUGCGGCUCGGGUUGACUUUGUGUCACCGAAACCUGCUAGGAAAAUUGACAGAUUAUCAGGAAUUGACAGAAUUAAAGGGGUACACCUAGGUGGUAGUUUUAAACUGAUUUCAAUGCUUUUAAGAGUUUAAAGAUGAUUAUGAGUAUGAUUGAUUUAUAUUUAUAUAUAUAUGGGUGCAUUGAUUUCAGUAUGUAUAUGAUUAAAAGGAUGAAUUAGUUUUGUGUAACUGUUUUUACAGUGGGGUUAGUAUGUUCUUAUGCUAUUUUUCUUAAAACUUUGUUUUUGGGUCCACUCACCUUUUAAAUGUUUAGCGCCCCCAGGCCGUAGACGUGCAUCUGAAAGUCACCACAGGGCAGUUUCCGCUUCCUGCAUCUCUUCAGCCUAUUGUAGGGUCCUUAACCCUCCAAAUGUUCUUCUUGUAAAUUAAUCUGUAUAGAUGCUUUGAUAUUGCCCCUGGGCUCGAACCUUACUGUUGAUUGUAUAUAUAUACGCAUGCCGGAAGUUGGGUUGUGUAUAUAUGCUUGAAAGGACCCGCCCCGAAUUUUCUCAAAACCCGAGACGAACCCUUUGGAAUUCCUGACAUCACUCCGAUACCAGACCCACUUACUAAAAACCGAGACUCCCUGCCGAAAUUUCGGCAGAGUCUCCCCUAUAAAUUGGACAUUUUUCAAAAUUUCAACCUGCAUAAAAACGCAUUUAAUAUCCACAACUGGCAGCAUGCACAAUAUAAUUUCAUGCAGUUCACAUAAAUUGGCCUUCGGCCUUCCAAAAAUUCUCAACACACUACCAAACAAUCCAAAUACAAUUUAUGACUAACAUUUAGUCUGCGGCUGUACCUAAUAACCUUAGGCUGCCUACGUACCCUCCUUGAGGGAUCAAGCCACACGUAGUUCUUCCCAAAACCCAAUUCCACAUUUGGGCGAUACCUUAUUUCAUUUCUCUGUAUUUCAAAUAAUCUCCCCAUACGCCGGUACAACCAACGCCACGUAUGGGGCCUGUCAACACGCCGGAUAACCUACGCCACGUGCGACCAUGCCAUACUAUCAUAAUAUCUCCCCAUACGCCGGUACAACCAACGUCACGUAUGGGGUCUGUCUCAACGCCGGAUAACCUACGCCACGUGAGACCUGCACAUCAUAUCACAUAUCUCCCCAUACGCCGGUACAACCAACGCCACGUAUGGGGCCUGUCCCAACGCCGGAUAACCUACGCCACGCGGGACCUCAAUUUCAUAUCACAAAUCUCCCCAUACGCCGGUACAACCAAUGCCACGUAUGGGGUCUGUCGACACACCGGAUAACCUACGCCACGUGCGACCUCAACACAAUAUCACAAUAUCUCCCCAUACGCCGGUACAACCAACGCCACGUAUGGGGCCUGUCUCAACGCUGGAUAACCUACGCCACGUGAGACCUGAAUAUCAUAUUACAAAUCUCCCCAUACACCGGUACAACCAACGCCACGUAUGGGGCCUGUCCCAACGCCGGAUAACCUACGCCACGUGGGACCUAACUUUCACUUGGUGGUGCUUGUAGUGAAUCCAAAAUUCGGGGAGGUACCUAAAGUAGUGCGUAUAGCACUCCAAACUGACAUUCUAGACUCUGUUGUACCCUUGUACAACCAUAUAUAAUUAUAUAAAUAAUUCUAAUAUUGUGUAACCCUCCACAAUAGUUUAGCUCCCGAUACUCCCCCCUGGAAGGGUGAGAUUACUCCGGGAGACUCACGGUCAAUUAAGGGUCAAACUACUCUAACCCUGGUCAAACGGACCUGCAGAACCCACGACCUCCAAUUUCCGAACCGAAAGGGCUCGUUUGGUACACAGGACUGUCUUGGCAUGGACUAUGUUUAGGGACUGGUUUGGCUUGGCUUGGCUUGGUCUAAGUUGGAUAACACUUAUCCUGCGUUUGGUGUAUGCUGGGACUAGGACUAGAAUUUUUUUUAUUUUUUCAAAAAUAUCUAUAUAUAUAUGUAUAUAUGUAUUUUAUAAUAUAUAUAAUAUAUAUGUAUAUAUUCAUACAUAUAAUAUAUAUAUAUGUAUAUAUACAAGUAUAUAAGUAUAUUAUAAUAAUAUUAUAUAUUUUAAAUAAUAUAAACGUACAUACAUAUAUAUAAGUGUAUAUAGGUGUAUAUAUGUAUAUUAUAAUAUACAUGGGUAUAAUACAUAUACAUAUAUUUAUAUAUAUGUAUGUAUAAUAUAAUAUAUAAUAUAUAUGGGUAUGUUAUAAUAAUAAUAAUAAUAUACAUGUAUAUACGUGUAUAUAUGUAUAUUAUAUAUGUAUGUAUAUAUACAUAUACAUUAUAUAUAUUAUAAAAUACAUAUGUAUAUAUAUACAUUAUAUAUAUAUAUUAUAAAAUACAUAUAUAUAUAUAAUAUAUGUAUAUAUAUUAUAUAUUAUAAUAUACAUAUAUAUACGUAUAUACAUGUAUAUAAUAUAUGUGUAUAUAGGCGUAUCUAUAUAUUAUAAUACAUACAUGGGUAUAAUACAUAUACAUAUAUAUAUGUAUAUUAUAAUAGAUAAUAUAUAUGGGUAUGUUAUAAUAAUAAUAUACAUGUAUAUAUGUAUAUUAUAAUAUAUAUACAUAUAGUAUAAAUAUAUAAUGUAUAUGUGUAUAUACGUGUGUAUAUGUAUAUUAUAAUACAUACAUGGGUAUAAUAUAUAUACACAUAUAUGUAUAUAUACUUAUAUAUAUUACAUAUAUACAUGUAUGCUAUUAUUAUAAUAUUAAUAUGUAUGUGUAUAUGAGUAUGUUAUAAUAAUAAUAUACGUGUAUAUAUCUAUAUGUAUUUAUAUAUUAUAUAUGUAUAUAUGUGUUUAUAUAUAUUAAUGUACAUAUACAUAUAUACAUGUAUACAUGUAUGUAUUAUUGUAAUAUUAAUAUGUAUGUGUAUAUGAGUAUAUUAUAAUAAUAAUAUAUGUGUAUAUAUCUAUAUGUAUUUAUAUAUAUAUUAUAUAUGUAUAUAUGUGUUUAUAUAUAUAUACAUGUAUAUGUGUAUAUACAUGUAUAUAUGUACAUUAUAGUAUAUGUGUAUGUAAUAAUAAUAAUAAUAAUAAUAAUAAUAAUAAUAAUAAUAAUAAUAAUAAUAAUAAUAAUAAUAUAUGUUAUUAGUAUUACAAUAUAAUAUAUGCAUCUUAUACAUUGGUGAACAUAGGACUAGUUAAUCCUCCCUUUCUACAUGGGUUUAGUAGUCCCCUCCUAAUGAGGUAUUUUUGGUGGGCCCGGUAUUAGCAAUCUCAUCUAAGACUAGAAUUUAAUGAAACAAACAUGGUACUAAAUUUAGUCCAAGCCAAGCCUGUGUACCAAACGACCCCUAUGGGUUCUACCAGGUAUAGGACACUUGUCCUGCAAGUUUGGUUCACAUUGGACGGUCGGAUUUCUCACGAUCGCACGAUCUGACAAUUAAUAUAAAAUAUAAACUGUAAAAUUACUAUUCGGAACAUCCGGGGCUCCGAUUCACAAUCCGUGAAUUCCUACACGAUCCUAGAAUUACCUAGAUUAACAUAUAUUAAAUUUGGGACCAUCCAACGGUCCCAACCUAUCGAACCUAGAUAACGCACAAUAUGCGAUUAUCCGUUCGAUAGUCAAACAACGUCCGAAUUGAGAUCCGUGAAAUCCUACACACUCGUGACAACCUAAGGAUCUCAUCGGAACACAGUGCUACUUUUUCCACCAUGCCCACGCGCCGCCGCACGCGCCGGCAGCGCGUGGUGCCCAAAGCGAUAACGCUUCGCCGGAAGAUCUCAAAACCACGGCUCCAAACUCCUACCCUAGGUAUAACACCCUAUUUGGAGCCACUUUUGUUCUUGAACCUACCCCAAAAAGUGGCCGGAAAUGGCCGAUCACGGCAGCCGAAGUUCGGCCGAUUUUCAAUUCGAAAAUCGAAUUGGUUACGCUAAGAAUCGAUCUAAUCCUACCCAACCAUCAGCUAGAGCAUGCAGAAGGGAUGAAUUUCCAUACCUUGAUCGCCAGAAAUGCCGGCCGGAGAGGGAGAUCGGCGGCCAUGAAGAUCGGCGACAUCCAGGCAAAAUCGCCAUUUUUCGGCGACUGAGCGCGGCCGAUGUCGUCGGGGNNNNNNNNNNNNNNNNNNNNNNNNNNNNNNNNNNNNNNNNNNNNNNNNNNNNNNNNNNNNNNNNNNNNNNNNNNNNNNNNNNNNNNNNNNNNNNNNNNNNNNNNNNNNNNNNNNNNNNNNNNNAGAGAGAGAGAGAGAGAGAGAGAGAGAGAGAGAGAGAAAACCCAGAUUUUUAUAAAAAUCCCAUUUCAAAAUAUUUACGAUUGUGCCACUGGAUUUCUUUUGACCAUAUCUCUCUCGUUACAACUCCGAUUCGAGCCCACUACGUGUCUAUGAACUCGUCUCAGUACGACCUAUCCAAAAAUAUAAGUCACGGUCCCAAACUCUCUCUGGUUAAAAAUAUGACUAAAAUAUCCUUAAAUAAUUAAAUAAUUAAAUAAGGGUUAAAUUUGGGGAAAUUUGGGGUCGGGGUGUUACAAUGCUUGUUUUGACAGGUGUGAUUUUGGGAUUGAACAAUUUACAGGGGAGACUCUGCCGAAUUUUCGGUGGAAGUCAAGGCAAAAAUGAAAGUAAGUUUGUAACUAGAAGGGCAACUAGGUCAUUUGUGCUUGGCACCAGCCAUGUGUCGAUCACGAACAAGGUUCGGCUCGAAUUCCAACAGGGAAUUUGGGUAGGGUCCUGUCAAUAAAAAUAUAGGUAUAUUAUUGACCAAAAAAAUUAACAAAAAUAGGUCAAUUACUUUGUAAUUGAAAUUUUCAUACAUUUUUCAUAAAUUAAACAUAGGUACACAAUAAUUUAUAGAAAAUAGGUACGUUGUAUAACUGAAAUUCAUGCACAUUUUUUAUAAAUUGAAAAUAGGUACAUUAUUUAGAAGAAAAAAAUAAGUUCAUUAUACUAGGUAUACAUUAUUAGAGAAAAAAAAAGGUACAUUAUUCAGAGAAAAAAAUAGGUUCAUUAUACUAGGUAAAUUGUUUUACUAGGUACAUUAUUAGAGAAAAAAAAUAGGUAUAUUAUUUUGAGAGAAAAAAUAGGUACGUUAUUUUGAGAGAAAAAUAGGUACAUUAUUUUGAGAGAAAAAAUAGGUACAUUAUUUAGAAAAAAAUAAGUACAUUUUUAGAGGGAAAAAAAAAGGUUCAUUAUACUAGGUAAAUUGUUUUACUAGGUACAUUAUUAGAGAAAAAAAAAUAGGUACAUUAUUUUGAGAGAAAAAAUAGGCUCAUUUAAAAAAAAUUGAUUUCAUAAAACAAACAAUAAAAAGAUGAUCAAAUUAUUUUUCAUAAAACAAGUAAUAAAGAAAAAAAUAGGUACAAUAUUUGGAGAAAAAAUAGGUUCAUUAAAAAAAAUGUUUUAAAAACAAAACAAUCAAUAGAUUAUGAAAUUAUUUUUCAACAUAAUUAGAAUGUACACUAUUAUUUAUAAAACUAUAAUAACAAAGAAUAUUGGUUGUACAACUCAUAAAAAGAAAACAACAUUAAUUCUUAAAUUUAAUAUUGAAUUUAUAUUAUUAAUACUUUAAAUAGAUUACUAGUCGUAAUUCAUAGAAGGAAAACACCAUUAAUUCAAAAAUAGAUUACUAGUCGUAAAAUAGAUUACUAAUACUUUAAUGUGUAAUUUAAUAUUUAAUUUCAAAUAAGUGUCUAAAUUAGUUCUUAUAUCCAUUACAACUAUUUAGAGAUAUUUUCAAAUUCAACGGAUGUCAUUAGUUACACUUCCCAUAACACAUUAACUUAUAAAUAGGGGUAGUUUUGGAAUCAGAAAACUACAAUAAAUCAGAUUUUAAGUCAUAUUAGGUAACUUGCUUGGUUGGAUCCUAGUCAUUAGGUAUUAUUUGAAAAAAUUGGGUAUUUUAAAUAGAAAACUAAAGGAAAAGGUUGUAAGUGAUUUAAAAUGAAUUUUAUGGGUCUAAGCUCAAUUUACUAUUAAUUUUAUUAUGUAGUUCGUAUGACCUUAUUAAGAAAAAGAACUAAAGGAUUAUACUUCUCCAUAAGUGAUCGUAAGAGGAUUGCAUCAUGGACACUGUUGGAGUUAUUUGUGUGGACACCGAAGGACAAAUACCUUCUGGUGCCUUAAGUGGGGGUAUUGCACUGAAGGUGACUGAUACUUCUAAUAAUUUGCACUCGUUUGUUUGUCGUCUGUUUGUAGUGACUAAUAACCUAACAGGUUUUUGUUUUAAAAAAAAUAUAAUAAUAAUUCAGGUUAGUGGGCGAGUGGGAUUAGCAGCAAUGCAUGGUUCAGGCUGUUGGGCAUCCUCCAAAGGUUUUUUUGUGGCGCCAUGUAUAGUUGGCUGUUGUGUAAGUGGUGCUGGAGAAUAUCUAAUGAAAGGAUUUGCAGCUCGGGAGUGCUGCGUCUCUUUGUCACUGUAUGUUUGUCGUAUUACUAUAUAACAAUUUUUUUUAAAUUUUCCUUGACUUGAAGAUAGCUUCUCUGUCUCUCUCUCGGACACACACACUCACACACACCAAGAAGCCAGCUUUAUUGCAUAUUGGACCUGCCAAAGUUGGAGUGGUCAUGAUUUUUCAAAGUCAUAAUUAGCACCCUAUAAAAGAAAGGUAUUAUUAGCACUGUAGAAUAUCAGCUGGGAUGAUCUACAACGUCUAUGAGUUUUUUAGUUUAUAUACCAUGUCUAUUCUUGUCCAGAUGAAGCCAGUAUGUAAACUUGACUUUCAUAUCCAUUGCUUAGUUCACAGGCAGGUCCUGCCUCUGCUUGCAUGAAAGUUUUGCGCUCGGUUGUUCAAGAGAGUAAUCACAAUUGUACUGAUAGAAGUGCUGGAAUUCUACUUGUGCAAGCUGAUGAUCCCACAACAGUGAGUUCCAAGCUAGAACCUUUUGUGUUAGUUGUCAGAAAGAAUUAGUUGUCUGAAACAAAUUUUUUUUUUAUAAAUUUUUUGUACAGGAAUGUUUGUCUGAAAGAAUUGUAUAUUUAUAUGUUGCUUUUUAGGUUUCAGGAAGUUCUCCAAAGUUGAAAGCCAUAGAGAUUGCAGCUGCUUUCUCUUCCUUAUCCUUUGGAGUAGGAUACUUUGGAAGCUCUAUGGAGCGGCCCAAGGUAAUUAUCUGAGUCUGUUUGAUCUUUUUAUUGCUAUCUUUUUCUUCUAUUUGUUAUAAAUAUUUUGGGCCUUGUUGAUCUUUCAGGACUUCAAAGAUCUCAUUUUGUGAUUAUUCUUGUAGAGUGCUGCUAAACAAAUCCUAAAAUUAACUGAGUACACCCUAUUAUAAAAGUAUAUAUUGAAUUACUGAUUUACCCUAAUAUAAAAUGACCAAAAAGGAUAUAUGGAAUUGUGAAACAAAUAUAAUUUUAAUAAGUACACCAUACUAACCAUAUUCAACCCUAAUCAAGAGAUUGCUUGUCCUAUUGUGUUUUUAAUGAAAGAUGUGGUGAUUGCAAGAAAUUGGAAUUGCAAAAAAGUGUCAACAGUUUUAGUAGAAGCAUAAAUCCAUAUGAAAAGUCAAAGAUUUAUAAACAUUAUUAAAAAAAUCAAGCUGAAAAUCAACUAUAAAAUAAUGCUACAAGUAUUAGGGUGUAUCAUAGGUUUUUUUGAUAGUUUUAUAGGGUGUACUUAGUUAAUUUUACAUUUUAAUUAAAAUAUUAGGGUGUACUUAGAUCAUAGGAUGUACUCAGUUAAUUUUAGGGUUCGUUUAGCAGUACUCUUCUUGUAUUGUUUAUGUUUCACAUCAAAUUCUAUUUAGAGGCAUCGCACCAAUUGUUUCUGUUUGUUCCAGUGAAUGUGUAUGGUAAUGAAAGUCCGGGUGAUUAUAUUGUUAUUUGGCAACUUUAAAACUAAAUGCUUCAUCUUCUGCCUCGUACUGUCAAUAUCUAUUUGAUUUCUAACAAGAAUGUUGAAUCUGUAGUGAAUUUGUGGACUAAAUUGUUCCACCUUUCAAGUUUCAAUUCUUAGGACUACAAAAUUGCAAAAAAAAAAAAAAAAAAAAACUGGAGUGGACCAUUUCAAAGCGCGAAUUGAUUGCAAUCUUGUUUGUUUAAUAUUCUGGAUUUGGCUGCUUAUGCUUUGACGUAGAAGAUCAUGUCUGUCAAUUGGCUACUCUUCUCCUUGUCGAAGUACAUCUGGAUGUGUUAAAUUAAGUGUGCUUCUGAUCUGUUAGCUGUUGUUGCUGGUACUGGAGUAAUUGGUGAAGCAAUCUGGCAGAUCUCCUCAUAGCAGACAUCUCCAACCAGCCGAUAACCUCGAGGGCACUUUUCAUCCUGUCAAAAAAUACACACAUCAUGAAUGAGAUACAAUCAUCAUGGCAUGACCAAAUAAUCAAAUUUCAUAUUUCAGGAACGAUAUUCCAAAUGUAUCUGAUAACCUAGUCAGUGCAUUUCUGUUAACAAAGCAUGAGGGAAAUCAGCCCAAAACAUUAGGGACUGACCUUAAGAUAUGAUGAAUUUCCUAAGCAUCAAAUUGAAAGGCAACAUCAACAUUGCAUGACCAAAUCAUCAAAAUUUUUUAACAAUGAUAUUUCAACAUAUCUACUAACAAAAUCUAUGCUUCAUUUCCUAUUCACAAAUAUAUCUGAGUCUGACAACCAAAUCAUCAUCAUCAUGAGAGAGAGAGAGAGAGAGAGAGAGAGAGAGAGAGAGAGAGAGAGAUUAUGAUAUCGCCUUGUCUUGUGAUCUCCUCAGGAUUCUUGGUUCAAGAAUGGACUAUACUGUUGGAAGCAUCUUCCCUUUACCAACAUUCAGAAAUCGGCUUGUCUUGUGAUCUCAGGAUUCUUGGUUCAAGAAUGGACUAUCCUGUUUGUAGUAUCUUCCCCCUACCAACAUUCAAAAAUUAAGUUUAAUUCAUGAAGUAGGAUACCAAACGGGCCCUAAGUAACUUAUUACUGAGGUAAACGAAAAUCACCUGCAGCAAUAAAGCAGCUGGCAUCCCAACAAGCAGGCAUAAUCCUUAAUAGUUUUUCGUAGUUGAGUUGAGUACUAUCACGCAUGUGUGACGAACAAACUAAGUAACUACCUUGCAAAGCAACCCACCCCCAAAUCAUGCUGCCUGUGUGAACAAACAAACUUUGUACAACCAGCUUGAAUUGCCUCGACACGACGCAGCCACUACUUUGACUCUUUCUCGCUGGUAACGUACACAUGAAAACUAUUAGAUUGUUUAGUCAUAAAUCAUGGGAGAACUACCGUAAUUCUAAUAAUUUUGCACAUUCAUAUACAUUACAUGGUCAUGAAAGUGAUACAGAUCUCUGCAUGCAUACAUCUAGCAUGACAAAUGGCAAGACAUCAUAAUGAUCCAUAGAUCAUCUUUUAGUGACUAUUGCAAGAUAUGCCUUCAAAACAUUAGAAUAACUUGUUAUUUAUGUUCUUCUCAUUGUAACAUAAUUUCACAAAAGGGAAAGCAAAAUUCAAAUUUACAAGCAUACACAAUGCUAAAAUAUGAAUAUGGUUUGAAUGUAUAGAAAUUUAGUUAUAUACCCAAUCUUAGACAUGGUUUUAUAAAGAAACCCUACACCGUUUAAAAACUAUAAACACACCCAAAAACAAUUCAAAAAUUGACAGCUAUCAAUUUUUUUUAAUUUAAUAGUUGUUUUUUAGUUUAUUUGUAUGUGUUAAAUACCUAUAUUGUCCUUGUACUAUGGAUUUAAGAUAGGAAAAUCAGAUCUGCCAUAAAACCAAAUAUUUCCAUGUCUGCCAAAAAACCAAAUCUGCCAAAAAAACCAAAUCUGCCAAAAAAUCAAAUCAGAUUUAUUUUCUCCUUUCUCGCUGGUGUUUUCUCUGGUGUUGGAGCAAGAGGAGCUUCCAUUGAAGCUCAGUCUCAGGUCCAACUAUAUUAUUCAUCUUUAAUCUACAAUUUUCAAUAUUUCACCUUCAAUUUCUUGUUCUAAAAUCGUGCUUCUAUUGAUUUUUUCUUUUUUUCGGAUUGUUCAAGACCUUGAACAAACCUCGAUCAGAUGCUUUUAGCUCUACUCCUCAUCUUCGAGCUCUACUCCUCUUUCGCCACAUCGUUGUCGUUGUUAUCGUCGUCAUCGUCGUCGUCGUCGUCGUCGUUUGGUUUGUACUUGAGAUUUUUGAUCUUUUGCUUCAAUUAUGUGUUUCUCUUCGGAUUUUAGUUGAUUUUCGAAAUGUAUUUGAAGCUUUGAUGAUCGAUUCAACUUUUGUUACUAUUUCAGUUAUGAAUCUCAUUUUUGUUUAACAAUGUACUUCUGUGAUAGGGUAUUAACAAUGUACUUCUAUGACAGAGUAUUAACAAUAUACUUCUAUGACAUAAUAGUAUUAACAAUCUGGGCUCAGCUUGUUUUGAGUUGGUUUGGUUUGUUCUUUCUUCAUCUUUUCUUUGGUGGACAUGUAUUAGAAAUAGCAACAUGAUAAACAUUAAUCAACAUGACAGUAAACUAGCAGUGUUAUUACCCUAGACUAGAACAUUACAGGGGUAAACAUGCAUUAGAAAUAUGAUGUCAUAGGAAAUAGCAGUGUUAUUACCCUAGACUAGAACAUUACAGGGGUAGAUAUGCAUUAGAAAUAGAAUAUCAUAGGAAACGAGCAGUGUUAUUACCCUAGACUGGAACAUUACAAGAGUAAACAUGCAUUAGAGAUAGGAUGUCAUAUGAAACUAGUAUUGUUAUUACCCUAAACUAGAACAUUACAACCAUUAAUCAGCAUGACAAUAAACUAGCAAUGUUAUUACCCUAGAUUGGAACAUCAGCCAUUAAUCAACAUGACAAUAAAAUAGCAAUGUUAUUACCUUAGACUGAAACAUUACAUGGGCAGACAUGCAUUAGAAAUAGGAUAUCAUAGGAAACUAGCAGUGUUAUUACCCUACACUGGAACAGUACAGGGAUAAACAUGCAUUAGAAAUAGGAUGUUAUAGGAAAUUAGCAGUGUUAUUACUCUACACUGGAACAUUAUAGUCAUUAAUCAACAUGACAUAGCAGUGUUAUUACCCUAAACUGGAACAUUACAACAAUUAAUCAACAUGACAAUAAAGGUGUAGAACAUUACAAUGAUUAAUUAACAUGACACGUUAAUGAAACUACGGUUUUCAAGACCUUUUGUUUGUAAUGAAUUGUUUGAGUUUUUUUAUAAAAUUGGGCUGGGCUUGUUUUGGGUGCUAUUUAAGUUUUUUGUGUUGGUCUUCUUUUUUAAAUUGAUCAAAGGCAGUCAUGUAAUUUAUAAGAACUUAAACACUAAUUUUUUAUGUAGUAAAUGAGUUUUGGGUGUGUUUCUAAAGUGCAAUCCAUGUGAGAUUUUUUAUAAUUUCAGCCCUUAUUUUGGGUAUAUUAGUGAAGCUCCCUUGAAUGUAUUAGGUUUAAUUUAUUCUUCUCCAUAAGGAGGUAUUAAGAGUUUACAUAUGGGCUUUAUAAGGAAUUAGAUACAGUAAAGAAAUAUGAAAGUAUCUCCUAAUUGUACAAUGAUUUAUCAAUUAUAUAAAAAAAUAGGAAAGUAAAUCCCUUAAUUAAUCAAGGAAAUAAAUCUCCUUGAUUAAUUAGGAGACUCACGUCAACACUCUUCCUCAAGUUGGUGCAUAUAUGUUACCAAUGCCCAACUUGGUAAGUGAGUCAUGAAAUACUCUGCUAAAUGUAACACCCUGACUCCAAAUUUAAUUUCUAUUUUAAAUUAUUUAAGUGAAUUUACGAAUUUACCCUUAGGGUAGGGGUAAAUUGGUCAUUUUCUUGUCCGAAAAGUGUUUGGGGCAGUGACUGGAAUUUUUAGGUAGGUGGUACUGAGACGAAUUUGUAGACACGCGGUAGGCUUGAAUCGGAGUUGUAACGAAAAAGUUACGGGCAAAACACUAUUAGUGGCAAAACUGUAAAUAUUUCAAAAAGGGUUAGAGUAAAAAUCAGAUUUUUCCAGUUUUACCUCACUCUCUCUCUUUCUCCCCAUUCUCUCUCUCUCCCGCGUCGUCCCUCCUCCUCCUUCGACUGCAAAACGCACGGCCACCGUCACAGGCCACGGCCAGCCUCAAGACCGGACCCAAAACAUCCGGCCAGAUCUCGCCGACGUUCCCCGACCCACCUCCAGCCGUCAGCUGCAGCCACGUUGUCGGAAAAUACGAAUUUCAGGCCGGUUUUCGUCUGAAAUUCCAGUCACUCGUUCUCUCUCCUCCGACCACUAUUUCAGACGGGUGAGGUAUGGUUUCUCAUCCAUUUUUCAAGUCCUAGCUGACUGUUGUAUAAGUUUGGACCGAUUCGUUGUCUAGGAAAUCGAUUAAAAAAUCUAGGUUUUGGCCGGAUUUCAAAAUGAAAUUCCGGCCAGUUGCCGCCCGAAUUGGACCUUCCCGUAAUUGAAGGAAGUGAUCCUGACCCCGAGUAGGAGCUAGGGUAGGAAUGGUGAGCUCGAGUGUGGAGUUUUUUCGUUCCCGGGAUUACUCUACACACCCACGAGCUGCCGGCGAGUGUGGCGGCACAUGGGCGAGGCUGGUGAGGGUGUAAAUUAACCCGAUGAGAUCCUUAGGUUGUCACGAGCACGUAGGAUUUUACGGAUCUCAAUUCGGACAUCGUUUGACUAUCGAACGGAUUUUCGCAUAUUGUGCGUUAUCCGGGUUCGAUAGGUUCUGACCAUUGGAUCGUUUCCUAAUUAAAAUAUGUUGUUCUAGGUAUUCCUAGGAACGUAUAGAAAUUCACGGAUCGUGAAUCGGAACCCCGGAUGUUCCGAUUCAAUAACUUUAAGUUUGCGUUUUAUAAUAACAGUCCAAUUGUCCGAUUGUAAGCGAUCUAACCGUCCGUUUCGAACUACACUUGCGAUACGGGUAUCUUAGACCUUGUGAAACCUUUAGGGACUUUCGGAUUGUAAAACGGAGGUCGUGGGUCCCGUGGGCCCGGUUGACCCAAAUUGGGAAGUUUGACCGCUGGUUGACCGAGUGUCUCCCGAAGUUGUUCCAUCGUCCAAAUCGGGUAGUUGGACCUUAGAACGUCUCGUUCCUAGUACACUUACUAGAAACCUGGGAAAUUAGAAUAUUUAAUUCAAAGUACUUAUUCGAAACGCUUUGUAUUAAUCUCGUAUACGUAUUCUGAAUUAGGUACUCCGACCACGCAUACGCAGCAGGCGGGACCCUCUCAGGGUCAAGCAGCGUGGGACUACUUGUGAGUGGACUUUGUUUUCAAAUCUUAUGCAUGGUUUUAUUGAUGAAAGAUUUGUGCAUAAUGUUUUUAAUGAUUUAUUGAAUAUAUUAUAUUCAUGAGUUGAAUUUGAUGUUUGUAUAGUGCUUUGGCAUAGUUGGGUAUUGAAAGUAUAUUUUAUAUGGAUUUUGGGAAAUAUUAUGCAUGAUAUUUUAAAUGGUAUUUUGAAUAUAUUAUUUAUGAAAUUGUUGAAAGUGAUAUUUUUAUGAGGUAUUGGAAAUAUAUUUUGGAUUUUGACAUAUUUGAGUAUCUUGAGUACGAAUAUUUGGAUUUUGAGAAUUUCUAUAUAUAUUUGGCUAUGUGUGAGGUACUUGGGUUGUUGAGAUGAGAUUGUGGAAAGUGGUGAGUAUAGAAUGUCAGUUUGGAGUGCUAUAAGCACUACCCUAUAUACCUCCCUGGAUGUGGAACUUGGAUACGGAGACUUGAGAUACUUGGAAUUGUCGGAACUCGGGGCAUCCUUGACGGGAUGUUGCUGUAGACCCUUGAUUGGGUAGUCUGCGCGCGUAGGACUGAUGACAGACGUACGGGUUUUGAGGUUAUCGACGGUACGUGCUGGCUGAGAGUUGGUCCCCCGGACGGCUCGUUCCCUAGUCACAUGGUGGAUUAAGGACUCUUCAUGAGGACUCAGCCAGGAUGACUAGUCAAACAAUCCCCCGGUUGGAUUGUUUUCCCGGUACUGUUCACCCGUUUUCGUGUUUACUCCUUAGGUGGAAGGGCUAAGUUCCCCACUGGCUUGGAGACCAUUUGUUGGUCGACAAGUCAGCUUUCUUUGGUGUGUGAGCGUGUCACUGCUAGCAAUGUAAAUUCUAGCAGACUUCUUUUAGAGUGGAUAACUUGCGCCCCAAGUUACUGACUUCUAAAACAGAUGAUUGUGAAUUUAGGUGAGGAAUAUCUCCCAAGUAAGUUCUUUUCUUGCCUCAGACUGGUAAGGACUUUCAUAAUUUAUCUCAGUAUCAAACGGCUGUUCUGGCCAGAAAAAUUUGAUAGAAGUUGGGCUUUUUUAGGCAGAACUGCCUUUUACAAAACAAUAAAUAUGCAUAUCGACGCUAGGAAGGUUAAAAGACGGCCGGAACUCCGUUUCUGCUUGGAUGGAAGGCUCUGGCUUGGGCUGGACUGGACACAUCUGGGUCGGUCCGUACUGCUUCGUGCCUUCAAAUGCUAGGUUGAGCUAUAAAUCGAUACCAAAGUUCGAUUUUGGCAGAGCUUUAUGUUUACUUCACGCUUCGUGAGGCCUUUUAGUGGGUAGAACUGCAGCUUCUUCAGUUUGAAGAGGCAGAAGUGGCUGUUCUCGAGGGCUUGGUGGGCUAGGGAUUGCACUACGAGUGUUGUUCUGCUUGAGCAGGACUUUUUCAUAAGUUCGCUGAGGUCUCCACGUUUGUGAAGAUUCAAAUUCUGCUUGCCUUGGCUUUUUGCUGAACCAAAUUUGUAACGAGAGAGAUCUCGUUUUCAGAAGACUUAUUUUCUAAGUCUGAACUUUGGAAUUCUGAUCUAAAGCUGGUUUCUCUUGGAAUCCAAGUGAGCUUUUGGUUGUUUUCUUGUUGUUUAUUUUUUUUGAUUGAUGAAUUGAGUGUCCUUUCCUUCCUUGCCUACUUUUGUUUUUAUAAGAGACCCUCUUGGGGAGGUGGUUUCAAAUUUAAAUAAUGGGCGGUAAAAUGAUCUCCUAUAAUAUAAAGUAAAAAAGGAUUUUAUCAAUCAUGGCAGAUAAGCUCUCCGUACAGCCUAUUAAAGCAGUCCCUUCCCUGGUGUCCUACUCCCAGCUUUCUAUUUCCAUCAACCCCACAGUCCGUGUGGGCUUUUUUGGCAGUUGGUUUUUCUUUCGUAUUUUCUGAACAGCUCCCCGUUUCCCGUUCUAAUUUAGAAAGCGUGACCCGUGAAUUCCUUGGAAGAUGGUGUAUUGCUUUUUGGAGUAGAAUCUCCGAUCACAGAUGGGUUUUGAUCUUCUGCUGGCAGUGUUUCAGAGAUGUCCCUCUCAUAUUUUAACUUAGUUGAAAUUGCUGACUUUUCAAAGCUGAGGCAAUCAGGUGGGUGUGUUUUUAAUUCCCUUGGGUUUAAAACCAACAAAAUUUAUGGGCUGAUCCUUGAAGCCCAAGUGAUAGUUUCCACGUUGAUCUUUCUUGGGCCCGGUUUUUUUUGUUCUUGACAUCCUGGCCUGAAGCCCAACCUGUCUGGAUCCUAAUUUUGUUACCCUUAAGUUUUUGGGCUGGGCAUUUAAUUUCACCAUGGGCCUGUCUUUUGAACUUUGGCGUGCCAAAUUUAGGCCCAAACAGGUACAACUAGGUGAUGGUCAUAUUUAUAUUAUAUAUAUAUCUCUUAUAUUAUAUAUUUAUAUUUAUUCAUUCAUUCUUGUUUCUCGGUGUGAAUACUUCCUUGCCGAUCGUGCCAAUGGGUACGCUUUCGAGAGUUUGGUUGUGGGAUUUAUAAGUUUUUGGAUGGUAGGUUUUGUAAAGCGUUCUUUAUGGAUUUCGGACUUGGCAUCUGGUAUUGAUUUGUUUUGAUAUAUAUUAUAUAUAUAUAUAUAUAUAUAUACUUGAGUAUGACGGUUUUGAGAUGCAUGAGAUUUCUUGCAUGGUUUUCUAAACGGUGGGGUUAUAUUACGUUGGUUUACACUGAACUGAAUUUAUUUUUGUCCACUCACAAUUUUCUGUUUUGCGCCCCCCAGCCAGUAGUUGACUGAGCUUCGCAACAAAGCCGGAUCGUGCGCUUCCGAGCCUUGAGUCAUCGUAGGACUCUUUCUUCAUGUUUUUCCCUUUGAACUCUGUUUUGUUGAAAUUGAAGUUCUUAGACAUGCUCUGUUAUCACCCCUGUUAGGGUUUGAAUUUUGAGGCCAGAGGCCAUUUUGUUGUAAACUGUUUAUUCGCUUUAAAGAAUGCUGCUGGUUGGGAUUAUUCUGUAUUUUUUUUUGCAGGUUGAAUUUUGUUGAUUUGUUCAAUUCACAGGGGAGACUCUGCCAAAAUUUUGGUAGAGAGUCUCGAUUUUUAGUAAGUGGGCCCGGCAUCGGGAAGAUGUUGGAACAAAGACGGGAUUCGCCCUGGUUUUGGGGAAAUUUCGAGGAGGGUCCUGUCAUACAAACAGCUUUUGUUAAGAUAUCUGCCAGUUGAUCUUCUGAUUUUACGAAUGGUAGAUGGAUGAUCUUCUUCUCAAUCUUGUCUUUGAUAAAAUAUCUAUCCACUUCAACAUGUUUGGUUCGAUCAUGUUGAUCUGGAUUAUGGGCAAUGUCAAUGGUUGAUUUGUUAUCGCAAUGUAAUUUCAUUGGCUUUCCUAGCUUGAAACCCAAUUCUUUCAAUAGUCUUCUGAUCCACAAUAGUUCACAAACUCCGUUAGCCAUUCUUCAAUACUCUGCUUCUGCACUAGACUGAGAAACCACAUUUUAUUUUUUACUCUACCAAGUGACUAGAUUACCUCCUACGAAGGUAAAGUAACAUGAAGUAGAGCGUCUGUCAGUAAUGGAGCCAGCCCAAUCAGCAUCUGUAUAUUCAACAACUUCGAGAUCUCUAUUUUUUUUAGAACAUUAAUAAUUACUGACUUUAAGUAUCUUAAGAUCCGAUCAACUGCAUUCCUAUGGGACACACUGGGUGAAUGCAUAAACUAACUAACCAUACUCACAGCAUAUGCAAUAUCUAGUCUUAGAGGACGUAUGAAAAGUAGAACAUUUGGUGGUGGUGAUAGAAGCAGGAGUCCGAGUAGCUGGGUCAAUAGGAGUGACUGCAUGCUUCUGUGAGUCUGCAAUAAGAUGGAGAAUCGUAGGGGUUCCUGACAUCGUAUCGGAAGUAAGAUAUGAUAUGAGAAUGUGAGGAAUUUGAUGUAGGAAUUGGAUUUAAGAGGUAUGUGUAUAAGAUUUGAGGGUAUGUGUUUAGGGAUAUGGAUAAGAGGAUUUGAAUAUGAUAAAUUUGAGAUAAGGGUUUAGAGGCAAAACAACUUCUCUCCACUCCCCCUCUCUCCCUGAAGAAAAGGGGUCGUCAGAGUAAAGAAAUAUGCAGUAUCUUCAUGGGAAUACGUCAAGGUAAUGGGGAUAUGUCAGUAAACAUAUCAUUUUCACUCCCCCUCCCCCCUUGAAAAGGAGGGGAGGAGAGCACUUAAAUUUCAAGAAGAACGCAAGCACAGGUCACAAGAGAACCUGGCUCUGAUACGAUGCUAAAGUAUGAAUAUGGUUUGAAUGUAUUAGGUUUAAUUUAUUCUUCUUCAUAAUGAGGUAUAUAUAAGAGUUUACAUAUGGGCUUUAUAAGGAAUUAGAUACAGUAAAGAAUUAGGAAAGUAUCUCAUAAUUAUACAAUAAUUUAUCAAUUAUAUAAAAAAUAAGAAAGUAAAUUACUUAAUUAAUCAAGGAAAUAAAUCUCCUUAAUUAAGUAGGAGACUCACGUCAACACAUAAGGCAGAUGUAGAGAUGAAGUUGAGCAUUUCUGUACUUCGAAUGAAUUAAUCCCAACAGAAUCACAAGCUUUUUUCUUGUUGCGCAAAUUGUAAUUUGUAUGUGCCACUUUCAUUAUAUCGUGACCACACAAUCAUGGUUGCCGUGUAGCCCAUGGAAAUCAACUCUGCAGUCUGCACUGGCAAUUGGUAUAAUUCAAUUUGUGGAAAUUGCUACAACCUCACAGGUCAACUGUAUCUGAAUACAUUAUAAAUUAAUAUAAUAAUGAUAAUAAUAAUAAUGUUAGGCUCAUCAGAAUAUCUUUGCUCAUUACAUUAUAUGUCCUCACAAAAAUAAAAUAAAAUAAUCAAAUCGGAAAUCGUUUAACCGUUUGAUUAUUAUCAUAAUAUUUCAAUUACCCGUAGGAAAUAUCUGUAAACACGAAUUUCUUGCGACAAAUGAGACAAGAACACGUGUAUAAAAUAAUAUUUGUAUUAAUGAAAUUUAAUGUUCCAAUCUCUGUAUUAAAUCCUCUGAUUCGAUCUCCAAAGUGUUUAAAGAAAAUUUGUGUUUGAUACAAGGGUCGUAGAGACUUGAUCUUGAUCAAACGGGUAGCACAAGGCUUGUUUGGUGUUAGGAUUUUUCUAGGGUAGAGGAACCGGCACGUAUUUGUUGUGCUUUAUGGCUCUUCCAAAGUGAGGUGAAUAAUGCAGAAAUUUUUUUGUUUCUUCUGAGUGCUUGGUUUGUCUCCGCCCCUGUCUUUCUUCUUGAGACCUCCUAUUUAUAGGUCCCUGCAGGAUGCUUGACCUAAAUAGCUUUCCUUCUAUAGGACCCUGUUUUGUGGGAUUUUGAUUUGAUUUAAAAUCAAUUCCGAUAAUUUGGCAAUUUAACCAAAUUAUCUUCGAUUGAUUGACUUGAUUAAUAUUUGAUUUAAAUCAAAGUCAAUCACAGAAAAUUCUUUCCUUUAAUUUUGUUUUCACUUUAAACCAUUUGAUGCACUCCGUCGGAUGUCAACACAUGUCACUUUUGAUAACUAAUCCGAUUUUGAUGAGUCGUACACCACAUGGGCGAAUUAUGAAACCUACAAUUUAAUCCACCAAACCCUAAUUAAUUUCUUACUUAGUGGAAUUUAAUUCACCAAAAUUUCAUUGUCUACAAAUUGCCUCCACUUCACAAUGCACUGUAGAUGUGUGUUUGCCACAUAUCUAUAGUGUGACUUGAAGUCCCUCUUGAUGGCGAAUGCAUUUUGUUCACAGGUAAAUUACAAGAGUUGAUCUUAAUUUGAUGAAGCCACUCUUGUUGGCGAUCACCUUUCUAUUGUUGCAAUGACCUUUCUUGUACAAUUUUUUUAUUUUUUUAUUUUUUUUAUUUUUAUUUAUUUUUUAUUUUUAUUUUCACUUGGUGGUAUCAACUCUUGGCCGAUAAUCAUUUGCAUGAGUGCAUUAAACAUGGGCUUUGGCACAACCAGAUCCUGGACCAUCGGAACUCCAGAUCAUAUAGUUUCAUAUGAUAAAGAAAUCCUUGUAUUUUGAAGAGGCCUCCAACUAAAUCAACAAUCUUGCGUGGUGGUGAAGAAAAUUCCAUAUUACAUAAGCACAAUUGAUGGCUUGAUCAUGUAUCAUCACAUAAUUUCCUUGAAUGCGUUGGAAAUUAAAGGGAAAACAUUUCGUGCUCAAUUUUGUCUUGCUACUUUCGUGGCAAAUAAACAUGGUCUCGAUCAAAAGGGAUUAUGAUCUUGAAUGCUCUAAAACAAAAAUGGAAAGAAUAUGCCCGUCCUGAUUUUUUAUUAAAAUAUUUUGGGACCCAAACAAGGGAAUUCCCUAUGCAUCUUUUGCUUGGUUUCUGCACCAAAGCUUCCACUUAUCUUUUUCAAUACGUCGGCAGCAUCCCUUGGUAACUAAUAAUCACAUGGUUGGUGGUGUUUCUCUUGCUUGAAGUUGUGUGCCUUCUUAGCCUUGAGCCCGUGCUCACCCAACCUCACUGAGCCAAUCGCCAUGUUCAGAUCUUUUCCUUUGUUACUUGGUCGAUGCUUAAUGAACUCGUCUUGGCACGAUGAUGUUGAUAAGUUGUUGCUCCUAUACUCCAUUGAAGUGGGGUCAAUGUUUUCUUACAUGAAGGAAUAUGCCACACAUGUAACUCAUGACAAGGAGGCCAUAAAGCAAUCAGCCAGAAACUUUUUAUUAUUUAUUAUUUAUUAUUUUUCUUCUUUUUUUUUGGCUAGGCACAUGUUGCUAAAAGGGCCAAACCUAGAGUUGCAAUUGAGGAUUUGAUCGCAGCUAGAUUUUUGAAGCGCAAACCGAGAUGAUUAAACUAUCAAUACCAUGAUGCCAGAGACUUCUCAAAAGGUGGAGUUCAUCUUGUUGGAUAUGUGAGGCGUUACAUGCAUCAUGUGGCCCAAGUGAAGGUCUGUUGAGGUUUGCAUCCACCAGUCGACGACGAAAGAAAAACGUAGAGGUCCUAACUGCUUGGGUUUGAACCAUUUCUUUGAUUUGGUGAUAACCCACUCAAGUGCUUAGGCUUGAUCUUGUUGGAGAACGAGUGAAGAAUGUAGACGUCCUAUACCGCUUGGGUUUGAUCCAUCUCUCCGAUUUGGUGAUAACCUACUCAAGCGCUUAGGCUUCACGUAUUGGAGGACGAGUGAAGAACGUAGACGUCCUAUACCGCUUGGGUUUGAUCCAUCUCUCUGAUUUGGUGAUAACCCACUCAAGGGCUUAGGCUUUACGUAUUAGAGGAUGAGUGAAGAACAUAGACGUCCUAUACCGCUUGGGUUUGAUUCCUCUCUCCGAUUUGGUGAUAACCCACUCAAGUGCUUAGACUUUAUAUAUUGGAGUAUGAGUGAAGAACGUUGACGUCCUAUACCGCUUAAGUUUGAUCAAUCUCUCCAAUUUGGUGAUAACCCACUCAAGCGCUUAGGCUUUACGUAUUGGAGGACGCCCAACUUGAUCGAGCACAAAUACUUUCCCAAAGAGACUUCCUUUUCCUUAUUUAUUUAUUUAUUCAAGAUUCACCAAAGAAAUGAUCCAUAGUGAAGCUUUUGGAGUGGAUAGGUCAUGGUAAAUUACAAAUUGCACAAAACAAGGCAAGAUAUUCAUUUGACGAAGGCCAAGGUAGUGAAUGGUGUAAGAAUAACAAGGGUGAACAAGGAGUACCAGCUUGAUGUUGAACGAAAGAAGUUAAUGUAGCCCUGACGGAGCGAAUUGGAAGUCAAAUAGUGCCAAACUAAUGAGAAACUCCAAAUUUAUUUUAUCAUGUGACUGAACUCAAAGUGGUCUUAUGAGCUGCCUACGUACCCUUAUAGGAAAAAAAGAGAUCAAGUCACGACGUAGUUCAAUGUUUUUCUUGGUUUUUUGGUUUUUUUUUCUUUUUUUUUUUUAGUUUGCAGUUUUAGCUCAUGCAAGCGAGGGAGCAUUUGGUGCCUUGUGCAUUUUUGGCUCUUGCAGGCGAAUGAGCGUUUUGGUGUCUUGUGCAGUUUAGGCUCGUGCAGGCGAACAAAUGAGCGUUUGGUGCCUUAUGCAAUUUCGGCUCGUGUAGGCAAAUGAGCAUUUGGUGCCUUGUGCAGUUUAGGCUCAUGUAGGCGAACGAAUGAGCAUUUGGUGCCUUAUGCAGGCGAAUGAGCGUUUGGUGCCUUGUGUAGUUUAGGCUCGUGCAAGUGAACGAAUGAGCUUUUGGUGCCUUGUGUAGUUUCUGCUCAAACAUGCGAAUGAGCGUUUGGUGCCUUGUACAGUUUAGGCUCGUGUAGGCGAACGAAUGAGCGUUUGGUGCUUUGUGCAAUUUAGGCUCGUGCAGGCAAACAAAGCAGCAUUUGGUGCCUUGUGCAGUUUCGGCUCGUGCAGGCGAAUGAGCAUUUGGUGCCUUGUGCAAUUUAGGGUCGUGCAGGCGAACGAAGGAGCGUUUAGUGCCUUGUUCAGUUUUGGCUUAUGCAGGCGAAUGAGCAUUUGGUGCCUUAUGCAGUUUAAGCUCGUGCAGGUGAAUGAAUGAGCGUUUGGUGCCUCGUGUAGUUUCGGGUUGUGCAGACGAAGGAGCAUUUGGUUGAAUUUGUGUCAAGCUAAGUGAGAAGUGUCCUCCUUAUGUUUUUUUUUUCACCUUGAGAGGUGCUCGACACAUUAUUCUUGAAGAAUCCUUUGGGGAAGAAAUCAUGUAGCAUGAUGGGGCUAAGUGACCUUUGUUUCAAAAGUUCAUCUUUUGAAACCAUUUUGUUCAUAUUUGACAAUUUAUUUCCUCUAUGCCUUUUAGGUGGUUCAGAAGAACUUCUUUUGUUUACAAAUUUUUUUUACCGAGCAGUUCUUGGCAAAGAUGCAUUCUUCUUAUGUAACUUCUUCUGAGUGACCAAUGUUCAUCCUUCAUUAUCGUCAUCGGAUGAAUCGACACUACUUCGACUUAACACCCCAACACACUCAUACAGAUUGAGUUGAUGGGUUUCAGAGAAUGCCCCUAGUGGUUGAAGUGAGGGCAAAGGUGCCGAAUCAGAGAAGACAAAUGAGAUCGUAGCAUGGUUUGACUCUACCAACUUGUCAAGAUCUAUUUCGAUUCUUCCUUGUUGUGCCAACUUCAUGAUGAGAUCUUUCAACACGAAACACUUUUCCACUGGGUGACAAAUGACACGAUGGUGCACGCAGUAUUUUGGUGGUUAAUAUGAUUCAUCUCUUUAGAGCGUUUGCACUCGGGUAACUCAAUCACCUUCUUCUCGAGUAAGUCUUCCAGCAUGCCUUCUACGUCAAAGUCUAGAAAAAAGAUACUUCCUCUCCUUCAUUUCUUUUAGGAUGUGUCAUCGUGGUUCUUGAUCUUGAGUUGACUCGGCCUUCCUCUCAUCUUUCUUGCCUAAAGCGGAAACCUUCAUUGGAGCGGCACUGAUCGUCAUUGACUCCAAGAUGCGUGUCUUCAAAGAGUCUGCCCCAUUUCUCGAUGACUUCUCAUUUCAAUGAUCACUCACUAUUUCAUUUCUUCCAUCGUGACUAGUGUUACUUAGCUCUAUGUCAUGCGCACGAGUGGUCAAUUCUUCAAAGCUAUGGGGUUUGAUCCCUUGAAGAAUAUAAAGCAGACCCCAAUGCAUACCUUGAAUGCACAUCUCUACCACCGAUAACUCUGAGACUCGAUCUUUGCAGUUGAGGCUUAAUGAACUCCAACAAUUGAUGUAGUCAACAACAGGUUCAUUUUUUUGUUGCUUUGUGCUAGUGAGCUUUAGCAUGCUAACUGAGCGAUGAGUGCUAUAGAAGCGGUUGAGGAAUUCUCUCUCCAUUUAUUCCCAGCUAUCACUUGACUCUGGUUCUAAGUCAGUGUACCAAUUGAAUGUAGUGCCUCGGAGUGAGCGAACAAAUUGCUUCACGAGUAAUCGUCAUUAGUGCCAGCGUUGUUACACAUCUCGAUGAAGUGGGCAACAUGUUGUUUAGGGUUACCUUUUCCAUCAAACUGCAUGAACUUUGGAGGUUGAUAACCCAUUGGCAUUCGAAGGUUGUCUAACCUUUUGGUGUAAGGCUUGCAAUAAAUAAAUGUAUCUUGAUAAGGCCCACCAUAUUGAGCCCUGAUGGUUUUCACGAUCAUGUCCUGAGGUUGUUGGACCGACAAAGAACCCACCGAGACGAUGUCGCCUUUUCUAUGCAACUUCUCACCCAACUCUGUUUCAUGACCCAAUCCUUUCUCACUGGAUUCAGCUUCAUGAUGUGGUCCUUUCUUAUGCACGUCUUGACCAAGUUCCUUAUCCUAAUGUGCCUCCUACUUGUUAAUGAGAGAAGCAAUUUGCGCAUCUUUCUCUUCGACCGUCUUCUUCAGUUUCGUGACUGCUUCACUUAUAUGGGCCAGCUGUUCUUCAAUAGACAUCUUUCAUGUCACCAUGACCUGCAUAGCCAUAGAAUAAGACUCACAUAUGGACGCUGAGGGUUUCAUGACAAUCUUCUUUUGUUGGUUGUCAGACGGGGAUCCAUGGUAUGAGCAUGUGCUCGAGUCAGCGUCUAAAACAGGCGAGAGUGAACGUUCUCUUGAAUUAUUUGAACCCGAAGAACUCCUUUCUUCAUUCCGAGAGUUUAUCUCAUCCGCUCGGGGUGUAUUCUUCUUUGCCCCCAAGAAGGCCAAGUUGAUAGCCAGCUCAUGCCUUCGAUUCACAUCUUUCGCCUUAGCUUGAUCAAGUCGGUAUGGAAGUGACAUGUUGAGUUACGAAUAUAGCAUUGGCCUUACUCCUGGUGACGACCCCAGCAGAGUCUCCGCUUGAGAAGGAAGCGCUCACACUUUUGCCUCUCGUCGCGGGAGCGAUUUGAAUAUUCUUGGAAGCCAUCGUUUUCGAUUUGUUGAGUGAUUUUGGAAUUGGAGAAAGAGAUGAGAGGCAUACAUGGUCCCACUAGGCGUGCCAAAUUUGUAAACACGAAUUUUCUGCGACAAAUGAGACAAGAACACAUGUACAAAAUAAUAUUUGUAUUAAUGAAAUUUAGGGUUACAAUCUCUGUAUUAAAUCCUCUUAUUCAAUCUCCAAAGUGUUUAAAGAAAAUUUGUGUUUAAUACAAGGGUCGUAGAGACUUGAUCUUGAUCAAACAGGUAGCACAAGGCUUGUUUGGUGUUUGAAUUUUUCUAGGGUAGAGGAAUCGGCAUGUAUUUGUUGUGCUUUGUAGCUCUUCCAAAGUGAGGAACCGGUGUUUGAAUUUUGUUUCUUACUUAGUGGAAUUUAAUUCACCAAAAUUUCAUUAUCUACAAUAUCAUAUUUGAUUUGUCCCUUUAACUAUUUAUAAACUAUUUGACGCUUUAAUUUUUGUUUCUUCUUAGUGCUUGGUUUGUCUCUGCCCCUGUCUUUCAUCUUGAGGCCUCCUAUUCAUCAAAUUAAAAUCAAUUCCGAUAAUUUGACAAUUUAACCAAAUUUUCUUCGAUUGAUUGACUUGAUUAAUAUUUGAUUUAAAUCAAAGUCAAUCACAUAAGAUUCUUUCCUUUAAUUUUGUCUUCACUUUAAUCCGUUUAAUGCACUCCGUCGGUUGUCAACACGUGUCACUUUUGACAACUAAUCCGAUUUUGAUGAGUCGUACGCCACAUGGGCGAAUUAUGGGGCCCACAAUUUAAUCCCCCAAACCCUAAUUAAUUUCUUACUUAGUGGAAUUUAAUUCACCAAAAUUUCAUUGUGUACAAUAUCAUAUUUGAUUUGUCCCUUUAACUAUUUAUAAACUAUCUGACGCUUUAAUAUUUUUUAAUAUUUUAUAAUAUAAGUGAUAGUCUAAAUCACAAGGAUGGGGAGAAUUUUCACACACACACUACCAAAGUAACAUGGACGUUCAAACCUGAGGCCACUAGUCUACAAAUCAAUGUCAUUUUUCUCUGGGUUAGACCCGAUUAGUAUGCUUUUUACAAUUUUCAAAUCCUGACGUUUAGUUUUCUUCAUAUUUUACUUGCAAUUUGUUUUGUGAAGUACUAAUUAUUACACGUAGCGAAUUAGUGAUCACUAAACAAUGAAUAAAAAAAUCAGAAUAAUUUAUGUUCUCCUUUUCUAUCAUUGGUAAUGGUAAACCAAGCAUAUGGGAACUAACAUCUGUCUCCAAAUGAACAUCCACAUGAGCAAAUUAUUUUUGUUGUAGGUAUCAAUCACAUGUAUAAAAGCUUCAAUCAAGAAGAAAAAGAAAAAGAACAUAAAGCUAUCUCGUCUUUUUUUAUAAAUUUUGUUAUCAGUGCAACAAUUACUUAUACUUUUGGAGAACCAACAAUUUUUUUUUUUUGUCGAGGAGACCAACAAUAUAAACUGAUACUUUGAAAAAUAAAAUUGUUAUAGACAGCUUGAGAAAAUCGGAAAGGGAUAGAAAAAGAAAAGUACAAAGAAGAUAGAAUGAAAGGUUCAAUUUCGACCACAUAAGCAACAAGACCUUCGACCAACAAAGAAAAAAGGAACAAGACCAAUAAUCGUAACGCGACAGCACAACAACAACACUAAAAAGGAUGUCAUGUCUCUUUGAAAGAAGUUUUGGUUAGGGAAAGGGAGGACCAUGUCGUGUUUCACAUGCUUGUCUUCCAUUUUUCGUUCCGAGAUAUUGCCAUGUACAAAUAAAACUCUUAUUAAAACUCCGAUUUUUCGUUUUGAAUUUGAGUGUUUUUUCAGAGAUAUGAUUUUUGAAAAAAUAUCUAUAAAAAUUAUUCGAAUAAUUAAAAUACAAUGUAAAAUUAUCUUCACAAAAAUAUUCAUCAAAUACACUUAUUUGAAUAAUCUCUCAAUUAAAGCUAUUUCUGAUAAAUCAAUUACAUAUACAUAGCUCAAAGUGUAUUAUUUUUUUCUAACAUAACAUGCACAACAUUUUGAAGUCAUCAAAGUGUAGGAUGAUCAUGAUCCUAUAGAGUCAUGAUUACCCCCACUUUUAUUGGUUGAAUUUCUGAAUCUUGGAUAACAUAUUGUGGGCCAUAGCCAUAGAUGAGCUGUGCUAGGGAGUGAGUAUCUGGGGGUGAAUAUACUCUUGCCGACACAACCCCAAGCUCCAACUGCCAUUCAAACGAGCUCCACCACCGGCCAUAAUAAAUUAUCUUAGUCAAGAAGAAAAGGAGGGAUUUGGUUCCCACCUCAACUUUUUAGGGUUUAUCUCCUUUUCCCUGAAAAUCAUCUUGUAUUAGUGUUUGUCCUGUUUCAAUUUCUCUCUCACCUCACACCUAUCCAACUAUGUUAAUUUGAUUGGAUAACGUGUCAGAUUUUAUGCAAAGAGGACCCAUUUAUCCAUAAGUAGUUGGGUCAGUUCACUCACCACACCUUUUUUUUUUUUUUUUUUUUAUAUAAUUUUUUUUUAAAUAUAAGCGAUAUUGAAGGAGUCGGAUUUUCUCACACUGAAAAUGUGUCGAGUUUCAAACCUGAAACUACUGAUCUGCAAGUCCCAUGUUCACCACUCACCCAUAACUUAACACAUCACACAUGCUUACAAAUCAUUUUUAUUUUUAUAGAGCUUGAAGUUUAUAAUAAAUUGGUUAAUUAACAUAGGUUUUCAGUAACAAAACAUAAGUUUUCGAUGAAAUUAUAAAUUUUAUAGCCACCUUGAUCACAAUUAUCACAAACUAUUACUUGAUCCAAGAGAAGUAGACGGCAAUCCGCAACAGUCAUUUAUCUGUGAAUUAUUUCUCACUACCAGAUGGCCCCAACCAGAGCAUUUCCUCCACUUAUUCUCUCUCUUACUCCAACAUGGAUUAAGGGGGGGCAGCAAAUUAGCAAUCUUGCCGGAAUGUUUUCCUACUGAUUAGUGUCUGAACGCUUAAUUUUAUCUAUUUUAAAUAUAUAUCUAUAUAUAUAUAUAUAAAAUAAAAGGUAGAGAAUGGUAAAAUAUUCAAAAUACCAAAAAAUAUCAUUGGUUAAUGUAAAUAUUAAGAAUUGAAAUUAUUAAUUAAAAAAAUUAAAAUUAAGAGAAAAAUCAGAAAGAAUCCUAUUUUUAUUACCCAUUAUCUUUUUAAUUCUAAAAUAAAUUUAAUUUUUUUUUAAAAAAAAAGCAUCUCACAGGCGCUGAAGCGCGUGUGAAGAGGCUAGUAUAAAAUAAUAAAAAAACCAAAUGACAAAGUUUAUGUUCAAUGAGAUGCUUGAAUGUUUAUUAAUAGACUAACCUCUUCACAUGCGCUUCUGCUCUUGCGAGAUCCUUUUUUUUAAAAUUAACAUUUAUUUUAGAAUUAAAAAAAUAAGGGCCUUUUAUCUGAUUUUUCUUUUAUUUUUAAUUUUUUUAAUAUGAAAAAGUAUGAAUUUACCAUAUUAUUCUCAUUUAAUUAAUAAUUUCAAUUCUUAAUGUUUACAUUAACCAAAAGUAUUUUCUGGUAUUUUAAUUGUUUUACCAUUCUCUAACUUUUACUAUAUAUAUAUAUAGAUUAUUUAUCAUGAAAACAAAAUAAAAUAACAUAUAUAAAAAUUAUUCCAUAUAGAAUUUAAUAUUCAACUAUUUCUUCUACAUGCCAAAAAUGUCGCGUUGAACUUAACAUCUAACAACUGCAAUGACCCGAACAAUAAAGGAAGCUACUGCUCUGGCCAUGUCUAUCUACCAAUGAGUUCAGUCCACGAAUUUCUUAAAUAAAACUAGAUUUGAAUUAUUUUGAUGGCAUUUUGUGACUCUCAUUCUGCAUUAUAGUAUAAUAAUAUAAUACGAUUUAACUCAUAUAAUAUGAAUACAAUUGUCUACUUUUUAUUAAAGAAAAUGUUAUCAUAAUACCCCACCUUAGAUGGGUAUCUACCCAUCACUUUACAUUUCAAUUUAUAGAGAGGACAGCAAAUCCUAACCGUUCACCAAAGCAUGGCACGUGGCAAAAUCAAGAUUAUCCAAUUUUAAGAUAUUUAUUAUUAGGAAAAAAUUUUAAAAAUAUCACUUGUACUUAUAUAUAAUUUCAAUUUGUCACUCAAAGAAAAUUUCUAAAGAGAUAUUAUUUUGAUUUAUCGAAAUUCCUAAAUUAGAAUAUGUGGCAUGUAAAACACACGCAGAAUUUUGGAUAGAGUUACAGUGCCAUACGACAAAUUAAGCAUUUUGAAAAAUUGAGAUGUGAGUUCUCUUAAAUAUUUGUUUUACGAUGAUGAAAUUGUAGAUGUGACAUUUAUAAGGUUUUCCCCUUCCUUAAAAAAUCAAACCACUUUUAACCUAAGGUUAUAUUUGAGCAUGCGACAGGAGAGAGUGAAGAGCCGAGGAAAAGAAGUUUCGCACCAGCGCAUUUAUAAAUACCCACCACCAUGCACCCAACUGUCUCACACCAUCAAAACCUCUUCUCAUAUUAAUCUUGCUCUCCAUCGUCCCGUUUCCGAUAUAAUACCCAAAAUACCCCGCCAUGUCUGAGGAGAAGCACCACCACGGCCUCUUCCACCACCACAAGGAUGAAGACAGACCCAUUGAAACCUCAGACUACCCUCAGUCUGGUGGUUACUCUGAUGAAGGACGUACAGGCAGCGGCUACGGUGGUGGUGGUGGCUACGGCGAUGGUGGUGGCGGCUACGGGGACAACACUGCUUAUUCUGGUGAAGGACGUCCCGGCAGCGGCUACGGUGGUGGUGGCGGCUAUGGAGAGAGCGCUGAUUACUCAGAUGGCGGCCGUUACAAGGAGACCGCUGCAUAUGGCACCACUGGCACCCAUGAAUCUGAAAUUGACUACAAGAAGGAGGAGAAGCACCACAAGCAUCUUGAGCACCUAAGCGAGGCCGGGGCUGCUGCUGCUGGUGUUUUUGCCCUGGUAUGGAUUUAACCACCUUUUAUAUAUGAAUCUUCUAAUUUUGUUCAUGAUUUUAGUUAUAUAUUAACCUUAAAUGUGAAGGAUCACAGUCAGAAAUUCAUACAUUUUCAAGGCUCAUUUCCCAAUAACUAAUUAAUCAUGCAUAGUAAGCAGAUCAUUGUAUACAACGGUUGUAUGUAAGAAUUUCUCGACGAAGCAGGGCGAAUGCUUUUAAGCUCCUUAGGCCUUGUCAACAUAACAAGAGAAGUGUGAAGAGUAAAUCUUCUCAAGUAUCAAAUGGAUUAAGUUUUUCUGAGACUAAUGUAAUUAAGAUCUGUCCCAGAAAUAAUUUGACAAAAUUAUAAAGAUAUUUUCAUUUAACAAUUGUAUCCAGAUGAGACAUAUAAUACAAUUAAAAUACCAGAUCCUAAUUAAUUAACUCUUAUUUAAUUUAAUAAUGAUCAUGAGAUGUGAUGUGAUGUGCAGCAUGAGAAGCACGAGUCAAAGAAAGACCCAGAGCAUGCUCACAGGCACAAGAUAGAGGAGGAGAUUGCUGCAGCAGCUGCAGUUGGGUCUGGUGGGUUUGCCUUCCAUGAGCAUCAUGAGAAGAAAGAGGCAAAGGAAGAAGAGGAAGAGUCUCAUGGAAAGAAGCACCACCAUCUCUUCUAAAUCUACAAAUAAAUACUAUAUUUUAUAUUUAUAUAUUGUGAUUUUACUUAUCUGUUAUGAGUGAGGUUUGAUCUCAACAAUGUUAUAAUUGUUGAGUGCUUAUGUGUGCUUGUUAUAUGAGUGCUAUGUAUCUAUCUAUUUCUCGUUGUUGAUAAUAAAUAAUAUCGUUUACUUGAUGUUAAUUUCUAUAUUAUUAAUUGGUCUUCUUUUUUCUUCUAAGAUAGAAAAUAUUAUUGUUCUCUUCUUGUGGUGGUGGUGGGUGUUAUCUUAGCCUCUUCUUAAGGAUAUUGCCUCUCUCUUUCUUUGGAAGGAGACAUUCUUACUUAGUGCAAAUCACAAUUUGACAUAUAUGUAAAAAUAAUUCAUAAAAAGCACCAAAACAAAAAUCUCAACAUACAUAUUAAUCUGUGAUUGGCAGAAAAAUAGAAGCUCUUAUUUCCAGGGAGUGAGGCAAGUAUUUUGCCCUCCUUAAUUUCCAUCAAGGUCACGAUUUAUUUUGUCAAUCCCAACUUUAGUAAAUUGACUUAGCAAGUAUCUGGCCCUAUCAGAGAACAAUACGUGGAUAUUGUGCACUUGAUUUUCAAUCGUGAGACCAUCAUGUUCACAAUAGUGCCAUUUAAUAUAAACAUAAAUUAAUUAUUAUUUUUAUAAUAUUUUAUACAAGAGAUACUGGAGAAGGAGGAAACUUAAGAUCUUAUAUGGAGGAGUAAAUUGGGGCUUCACUAAAUUAAUUGAAUAUGAUAUUUUACUCUCGUGAAGAAUUUCUUGAAUACGUGAUAUUAGAGUCUUUAGAUGAGCGAAACCGCAUAUAAUUAUAAUAUAUAUAUAUAUAUAUUUAGGAUCCAUAUAUUUAAUUUAUUAAUUUUUAUAUCGUAUAGUAUAAAUCCAUCUUCUAGUCUCUUUCAUGUGAAGUAAAGGGUCCCGGGGAAUAAUGAUAAAAGCAAUUAUGUCUUUCUCUUCCUUCUUCGUGCCAUUUAAGCCAAAACGUAGGGUAGCCAUCCAUUACAUAACGAAUUUUUGUUUAUGAAAAGUAUUACCUUCAUCAAAAUCACGGAAAAAUGACUAAAUAGCUCUCUUAAAAAACCCUUUCCAUUUAACAAUGAUGAAAGUAAAAUAUGCUCACAUUACAAGUGAGCAAUGAGGGGUUGACUCUAAUGACCCUAUACCUUCUUUCCUCCCAAUAAUAAUUUUGAGUGAAUGUGCAACUCAAAUUUUAACUCUCUUUAUCAUUCUUAUCACAAAUCGUACUUGAAAUUUUCGAAAUUCAUCAUUUUAGUCCCCCACAUUGCAAAUCGAUCAAUAUGACGUUUUAGUACAUACCUUGCCACCUUGGCUCAUAAGAUAAGGGAAGGCGGUGGAUAGAUUAUUGUCUUGGAAUUUUUCAAAUGACAACGAUGGAAUUUAAGAAACCCAUAUUCCAUAAUUAUUUGCAAGAAAAACUUAUAAUCUUUUUUUGGGUUUAUGUAUCCAAAUGUAAGGGAUUAGUGUGUGUGUAUAUAUAUAUCCCUUUUAUUGAUGGAUUCUUCAAAUAAUUUUAUUUGAGGGACGCACUACCAUACGAAUUUUUUUGCAACGAUCCAAACAAUCUAUUUUUUAAGUCUUCAUUCAUAGAUCAUCUUUACAAAAAAUUAGACAAAUCGAAAACUGAUUAGACAUCCAAUUGUGUCUUACAAAAUCAAUGAACAUGGGCUUCAAGAAGGUACUAAAAUUUUAAUUAUUUAAUUGAGUGGUCAAAUUAUAUCAGAUUGAAGUGAUUUUUUAUAGAGAUGAUAUUUGAAUGAAUAUCUACAAAAUAGAAGGUUUGGAUUAGUAAAAUAUAAUCCGGAGUAGGCCCUACAAGAGUGUCUCUCAAAUAAGCUUAUUUGAGGGAUCCCUCAAUGAAAGCUCUUUGUGUAUAUAUAUAUAUAUAUAUAUAUAUCUAUUUUUUAUUGCGUACUUCAAUUUUAUGCAAAUGUUAAAUCCAUCAUACUAUCUAGGGGUGGGCAUGGUACGGUAUAGUAUGGUAUUAAGCAUGUACCACUACCGAUACCGGAAAUUUAAAUCGGUAUGGUACGGUAUAGAAUUAUGAUUUGCUAAAAUUUGUACCGUACCGUACCAUGCCAAAUCGGUAUCAGUACAGUAUCGGUACCAUUUCGACACUAAAAUGACACAACUAAAAAAUGAACUAAUUCAAUAUUCAACACAUUCAUUCACCAAAAUAAGUGACGCCUAAGUUACAAAUUCAAAGAUAUUUUAGCUACUGAUAUUUUAGGCAGGGCUCGGCCCAGGGUCAUUCCUUGUUAGUUUAGUUUGUUGUCGGCUUAGUCCUACCAUUUAACCAAAAGAAAAAAAGCCUCCAUCUUAAUCAAGAUUCUAAGUGACUUUUCUACUAACAAAAAGUAAAGAGUCCAAGGAUAAUCCUAAAAUCAAAUGGUGAUAGGCACUAAUUUUAUUAAGAGAUAAAAGUACAUACUAUUUCUUUCUUUUCUUUCACUCAAGGAGUCUUGGUUGAAUACUUUACAACUAUUUUAUUUAUUAUAUUCUCAUCAUGAAAACCUUUUCACCUAUAAAUCAAAAAUUACUAAUUGAGUUGCUUGAAGAAAGAUGACUUUUGCCAAAUAAAUCAAAGAAAAAGCUUUUAAUUAUCAAAUGAAUCAAAGAAAAAGGCUCUAUAAACAAACACACAAAGGCAAUCAAAAUUAUAUUUAAGUACUAUUCAGUACGGUACGGUAUUGACCGGUACCAAAAUCUUGAUACCGCUACUAUACCAUACUCUAUUGGUAUGGUAUGGUACGGUACCAAAUAUCUUCCCAUACCAAAUGAAACGGUAUGAAAUUGGUAUGGUAUGGUACGGUUAUGGUAUGGUUUCGGUAUUUCGGUUUAAGAUGCCCACCCCUAACUAUCUAGCUUUCAAUGACUAAACGGUCAAAUGGUAUUAAUUCUACACCCUCAAUUUUUUGGUAAAAAUCUUGUUCGAUAGAGAGAAAGCUCGAUACCUAUUUGAUAGGUGUUUUUAUAAAUUUAAAAAAAAAAAAUUAGGCAUGAUUUUGUAAUACAAUAUUCGUUCAGGUUAAGAAUGGUAAAUUAACCUUUAUUUUUCUUUCUGACAUCAACGGGGUGAGGGCACUGGCGGACCCAUAAAUUUUUUAGCGGAGGUGCAAUAUUGACUAAGUAUGAAAAAUAGUUUUUCGGAAUAGUCAUCUUCUCAAGAUAAUUUUUGGCGUCUUUUAUUCCUUACACAUCAAAUAAGAAAACUUGAUUUUAUGAGAUUUUAGUAUGAAGUAUAUAUUGACUUAAUGAGCCAUCAUUUUUAGCCUAAAUCGUAUUUUGCACUAAAACCGAUUUUUCAUAUUUUGAUUUGGUAGGAAUUUGAUUUUCUAAUAUUUUUAUUUGAAUCCAAAUGGGAAGUACUUCCUAAAUUAAUGUAACCGCCACUAGGGGGUGGGGGGUGGGGAGUGGGGGAGAGAAACCUACUGGCAUCCGUUGACAAUAAAUAGAAAUAUAUUUAGUUUUCAAGGUGUAAUAAGUGAAAAGUUUUUUUUGAAGAAAUGUCUUCCAUACCGGCCGAGAGAGAGAGAGAGAGAGAGAGAGAGAGAGAGCCAAACAAUCCAGACCGUCCACCAAGGCUUGGAUAACUAGCAAAUCAUGUGAUGUGGCAAGAGCAAGAGAGCCCCACUUCAGGGGGGAGAGAGAAGAGAGAGAGAGAUCCAAACGAAUCCAGACCGUCUACCAAGGCAUGGAUAGGUAGCCAUGCAUGUGGCAAGAGCAAGAGAGCCCCACUUUAGGUGGAUAUUUUACGUACGAGCUUGUGAUAGAGAAGAGCCACAAAUUAAAGCCAGAAAGAGAGUUUUGGGACAUCCAACGCUUAUAUAAGCCCCCCUAUCACCAUGCAUACCCAACGCAACACCCCUUACCUCAUAAUCUUCCUUCAUCCUCGCAUUUUCUUCAAAAUACCCAAAAUACCCCUCAACAUGGCUAACCAGGAACAGCACCGCCUCGGCCUCUUCAACCAGGACAGAGAAGAAGACAAAUCCUCAUCCUUCUCUCAGCCCGGUUAUGGAGAUCAAGGCCGCACUGGUGGUGGUUACGGCGACAGCACUGGCUAUGGCGACUCCACUGGUUACUCUUCUCAAGGACGUGCCGGUGGUGGUGGCGGCGGCUAUGGCGACAACACGGAUUACUCCGGUGAAGGACGCCGUACUGGCGGAGGAGGCUACGGCGGCAGCACUGAUUACUCUGGUGGUGAAGAGCGUCGUGCUAGUGGCGGCGGUGGCUAUGGCGACAGUUACUCUGGUGAAGGACGUCGUACCGGCGGCGGCGGCUAUGGAGACAGCACUGAUUACUCUGGUGAAGGACGUCGUACCGGUGGGGGCGGCGGUGGAUACGGAGACAGUUACUCUAGUGAGAGACGUACUCAAAAUGUCGGUGGCGACGGAGACAGUUACUCGGAAGAAGGACACGGGGGCCGUGGCGAGACCACUGCUUACUCUUCUGAUGGGCCCCGCGGCGGACAGCACAGUGAGACGUCUGAAACCUAUGGGUCUCGUGACUCUGGAGACUACAAGAAGCAGGAGAAGCACCACAAACAUCUCGAGGAACUUGGGGAGCUAGGUUCUGCUGCUGCCGGCACUUAUGCAUUGGUAGAUUAAUGUUUCAACCCUAUUUUUCUGAUUUAAUUUAUUAUUUUAAUUAGGCAUACUAAUUGUGGAUUUAUGAUCAUUCUCAAAGGCAUAUUAGUGCGCAUGAUUUGUGAUCUUAUUGACAAAAUAUAUAAUUGCCAAUCCUACUUUGCGUUCACAUAAGUAUAAUGAUUAUGUAAUUUCCAUUUUUUUUUCAAACACUAUUGAAAAUAUAAAAGGAGAAACUUUGACCAUAAAGUUGUUUUUUUUUUUUUUCGGCAGUAUGAGAAGCACGAGGCAAAGAAAGACCCAGAGCAUGCUCGCAGGCACAGGAUAGAGGAGGAGAUUGGGGCAACGGGGGCAGUUGGUUCGGGUGGGUAUGCCUUCCACGAGCAUCAUGAGGAGAAAGAGUCAGAGAGAGAAGAGGAAGAGUCUCAUGGAAAGAAGCACCACCACCUCUUCUAAAUAAUCUAAAUUAAUCAAUAUCGAUCUUUAUUGAUUACCUAUUUAAGUGGUUAAUUAUUUGUGUGCAUCC
This 66847-nucleotide long non-coding RNA is filed under the name Prunus persica (peach). RNAcentral describes it as "long non-coding RNA (PPER_LNC007674)". The record is from RNAcentral. Lineage: Eukaryota; Viridiplantae; Streptophyta; Magnoliopsida; Rosales; Rosaceae.